AUUGAUAUUUUUUACUUCCGACACAUAUAUAUACACUACAACAGAAUUAGGUUAUAGGGACACAUGUUUAGGACACUUUUGAGUAAGUGUCCCAUUUAUGCUAAAACUUAAAGAAACAUCUACUAAUGCCUAAAUAUAAAGCCCAAUUCAACCAAAAAUAAAAGAUUACUCUACUCAACCCACCACACCCAGUCCAUUUGGCCCGAUUACAAAUAAAAAAGAAAAAAAAAAGAAAAAUCAAUUACCAUAUUUUCUUCUCUCUUCACUCAAUCCACUGAAAUUCUAGACGAAGAGUCAUUCCUGUCGUCCUCCUCCGCCACCGCAACCAACGAAAUAGAGUUUCGGCGGUUGCUAAAUGCUUAAAUAAGUUGUUGGUAAAUUAGGAGCACUCUUUUAGGUUAUAGCGACAUUCUUUAACUGUCACUAUAUACCUAGCGACCCCACAUAUAGCAACACUUUUUAAAAGUGUCGGUAAUUUUAGCUAGCAGCACUUUUUUGACAUGUACCUAUAUUUAAAAGUGUCGCUAUAGACCGUUUUUGUUGUAGUGAUAUCAUUAAUCUUCAAUAAUGAUUCUUUAAUUAUAGAACGGAAACAACGAAUACUACCAGGGAUGUUCGAAUUUGAUGAUUCAUGCUUCAAACUUCGUGCUACAAACUAAAUGUUUCAGAAAAUAAAAAUAAUAUAAAGUAAUAUAAAAAUAUAAUAAAAAAACUAAAAUCGUAUCCUAUAUAUCUACAAUUAAAAUGGCCACGUCUUAAAUUGUCUUCAUUAGUUAAUUGAUGAUUUGGAUUUGACGUUAACUUAUAUCAAAUAAGAUCUUCUUUUCUUAUUUUAAUGCAAUAACAAGAAGUGUAUGCAUGUGGAAAUAUAACUAAUUAAUGAGCAUCCAAAGUUAACAAAAUGGCUAGAUAAAUUGAUUUGCUUGAGAGGAUACUAAUUUAUUAUGGUAAAAAGAAAAUCUAAUAUAUAAUUUCUAUUUUAGAAUUUAUAAAAAUUUAUUUUCUAAUUUUGGAUAUCAUAAAAACUUGUUAUGUGGAUGGUUCUAGGGGCUAUGAAAUGCCAUUUUAUUAUUUCAAAAGUUUUGGAUGGGGACAAGUGAAGAGCAUCAAUAGUUGCUAAAAACCAAUAUAUAUAUAAGAAUAAGUUAUGGAUAAAUUACUUAAACCCUUGAAGGAAUAAAUUAGUGAUUAAUGAUUGUAGACUAAUUAGAGGGAUUCAUAAUUAAUUAUGCUAAUGAGUACAAUUAAUAGCUGAGUUGGUUUCACAUUUUAUUUUAUUUUAUUUUAUUUUUUUGGAUGUUAUCACCACAAGAGGUUUCCAGAAACAAAUUAAGAUGUACAUUGUCAUCUCUUUUAGCCCUAUCAUUCCUUAACACACAACACCUUUCAUAGAUGAUGUGUCCAUUUCUCAUUGGUUAGCUAACUCUAAAUAGGGUUAAUAGAAUUUCCAUCAAUAAUUUUUGCAUUUAAGUUCAUAAUAAUUUUUUUAAUAAUAAUUAAGUUAAGUUUCUAGCUUUUAGAAAUAGUCACCUGCCAAGAUUUAAUACUGAUAAUGCUAAAAUAUUAUUUGGUGCUGAUGCAGCAUUUUUCAUUAGAGUCAAUAAUUAUUAAUGAUUUAUAUCUAAUUUAAAAAAGUGAAAAUUUUAAGGACUAAAGUAAAUAAUUGGGUAAAAGCUUUUGAUACCAAUGGUUUAUUUAACUCCAAGUUUUUAAAAAGUUUCUAAACUUUAUUACUAUUUUUUAAUUGAAACCCCUCCAUUUUGACUUAGAAAAAGUGACCAACUUUAAGUAAAUAAUUUAAGGAUUUUAUUUUUCACUAUUUUUUCCAUAAUUUGACUUCGGCGUGAGAUCAUUCACUAAAGCCAAUUAUGCUAUUUUUGAUAGUUCGAGAUUCAACGAAAAAUAAAAUUAUGAUGAGCCAAACAAUAAAAAAUUAACAUUUAUUGUCGAACACAACUUUACCCGCUCUCAUCAAAUUAAGAAUGUUGUCUCAUCAAAAGUUAACAUUAACUAUAAGGAGGGUUAUUUGAGAAUGGCCUAUAGGUGAGUGGUCUCCAUUCAUUUGGGGAAAUACAUAGAAGUAAAAAAACAUAAAAAAUUUAUUCGAAUUUUGGGCUAUUUUUAAUCGGAUAUUCGAUCUUUAAAAAUUUUGAUUUUACAGCCCAAUCUUUCAAUUCGUUUGAUUUAAAUUAGCCAACAAUAUUUUAACUUUAAAAUUUAAACUACUUAUUUAUUUUAAUAAUUAUUUAUUUUAAUAAAUUUACAGUUACAAAAAUUACAUAAAAUAUACUAAUUAAAUCUGUAAAGAUAAAUGAAGCAUUUAAAUAUUGAAGUCAAAGUGCCGUUGACUGACUCAACCCAAACAAAUUAUAAGAUUGGGUAAUUAAUCAAAAUUUUAAAAGAUCGGAUAACUAGUUCAAAAUAGUCCAUAAUUUAAAUAAAUUCGAUACAAUUUUACCUAAAUAAAAAAAUUUUAUAAUAGCUUUAAUUAUGCCUAUAAUCUAGAGAAUACCGUCGGAUCAUUAGCGCUACCCAUUAAUUUAAAAAACUCGAAUUUUUUUUUCUUUUGAGAGAUAGGUAGCAUGCUACCCGCUUCGUUUAUUUCAUUUAGAAAUAAACUUAGCUGGAAAUGUGAAUGAACUAGGAUUUAAACUUGGGUCUCGGAUACCAACCAUCAAGCCAUUUGCCACUUACUCUAGGGAUAGUUGGUUAAAAAAAAAAAAAAAAAAAAAAAACUCGAAUUGUUAGAAGUAUACGAGCAAUUUAUUUAAAAUAUAUAGACUGGAUUAUGAUUCAGCCCAAUAAGCCUCACGCCACAUUUUCGAACAUGACUUGGUCUAUAUCAAUCUUCUGUUAUUUACAAAAUGAUUUGAUCCAAUAUGAUCUUCCGUCGCAUGGCAGAAUACUGAUCUCUUUAAACCAACCGGUUCCUCUUUCUCUUUCUCUGUACAUUUUUACCGGUAAAUAAUUUUUUUUUAAAAAAACUGGUUUGAUUAUCAAAGAAUGGUGUUUGGUACAACAACCGGAGCAGCGGAUCCCGGAGCAGGAACAGCACAUCACGAGUGUCAGCCCCGCUCCUCCUCCCAAUCCACAGAGACCACGAGCGCUGUCGCCAAUCAGGGUGGGACACGUGGCGCUCGGACAGCGCUCUGGCGGGGAUGCUGAGCUGUCAUCGGCGCCAAAAUGGCGCGAACGACGAGGAAACCUUAUCUCUCUAAUAAUUCGCACCCCCUCCCCCUCUCUUUCCCUUUUUUUUUUUUUUUUUAGUUUUUCCUUUUUUUUAAUUUCCGAAAGCGAAUUGACGAAAAUACCCUCCUCCCCCAAUUUUUUUUAAUUUUGAAAAAAAAAAUCCCCACGAUUCUCACGUCCAACUACCCGCCACCGGUUACCGGCUACUCCCGGUCGCCGGUCUCCCUCGCGCGGGUAUUUAUACGUAGACAGCUACCUCUAUUCUCUUCAAUUCCUCUAUUCUCUUCAAUUCCACCUGCAGUAGUUGCGGUAAACGUUCUUUUUUUUUUUUCUUUUUUAGGAGAGGGUUGUCUGCAUAGAGUAGAGGAGAGGAGAGGAUACAGAAAUGCCGAUCUCUCGGAUCGCAAUCGGGAGCUACGAUGAGGCGUACCACCCGGGCGCCCUCAAGGCGGCGCUCGCCGAGUUCAUCUCCACCCUCAUCUUCGUCUUCGCCGGCCAGGGCUCCGGCAUGGCCUUCAGUACGUCCCCAUCCUCCUCCUGCUCCUUAACUAAUUCGUACUACUUAUUUUCUAUUAUUACUGAUGUGCUGAUUUAUACUGUAAACACGCUUACUUGCAUGUCGACAUAUGUAUACCGCCAUGACCAAGCAGCAGCGUGCAAACCCAUAUUUUUGGGGUAUAUAUAUAAAUAGCAGUUUUUACAGUAGUUAUAUAAAGCCAAGCAUGAAGCUCCUAAAUUAGUUAAACGUGUAAUUAUAACUUGGUGUGACUCUCAAGCGAAGCGUGUGCUAACUCUUUUUUAAAAAACUUAUUGUUAUUUUUAAAAUUAUGUAAAAAUCAUUAAUUUUGGUUAUUUAUUUAUUUAUUUAUUUUUGGUGAGAUAUAUAUAUACAAGUAGCUAGCUUAAUAAUUUGUUCGCUUGUUCUUCAUGUAAGCCCAUUUUCUUUUUUUUCGUUUUUGUUUUUCAUUUUUUUGUUUUUUUUUUUUUUUGUCGGUACGUUUUGCGGAGCUAGUGACUGGCUGAAGUGUUAACAGGCACUCUAUAUAUGUUGGAAUCUAGUGUGCCUACGUCAUUUUCCCUUGAGAAAUUUCACAAAUUUUAACAAUAAGAAAAAUAAAAAAGAUUGUUGAAAAAUACAUUAUUCUUCAUAUUUGGAUGAAUCCCAAAGAUUUACAAUAUAUAUAUAUAUAUAUAUAUAAUAUAAUAAAAUUAGUACAUAUAGCAGUUGCUUAAAUAUAAAAAAAUAAAAAAAUUGUCUUGAGGUCCGUGUACAACGUUUUUUUUUUUUUUUUCAAAAAUAAGUAGCAUACUAUUUAUUUUAUUUAGAAAUUUCUAAAUUUUAGCUGAAAAUGUGAAUCAAUUAGGAUUCGAACUUGAGAUCUCAGUACCGACCAUAACCUUUUUGCCACUUGCUCUAGGCACGGUCGGUAUGGUAGUUGUUUCAUAUAAUUUAACGGGUAUUCUGAUGGGCGGCUGCAGGCAAACUAACGGGCGGGGGUGCGACGACGCCGGCGGGGCUGAUCGCGGCGGCGAUCGCGCACGGGUUCGGGCUGUUCGUGGCGGUGUCGGUGGGCGCGAACAUCUCGGGCGGGCACGUGAACCCGGCGGUGACGUUCGGGGCGUUCGUGGGGGGGAACAUCACGCUGCUGCGCGGCGUGCUGUACUGGAUCGCGCAGCUGCUGGGGUCGACGGUGGCCUGCCUGCUGCUGCGCUUCUCGACGGGCGGGCUGGCCACGGGGACCUUCGGGCUGUCGGGCGUGGGCGCGGGGGAGGCGCUGGUGAUGGAGAUCGUCAUGACCUUCGGCCUCGUCUACACCGUCUACGCCACGGCCAUCGACCCCAAGCGGGGCAGCCUCGGCACCAUCGCCCCGAUCGCCAUCGGCUUCAUAGUCGGCGCCAACAUCCUCCUGGGCGGCGCCUUCACGGGGGCGUCCAUGAACCCGGCCGUGUCCUUCGGGCCCGCGCUCGUCAGCUGGUCCUGGGCCUACCAGUGGGUCUACUGGGUCGGCCCGCUCAUUGGCGGCGCCAUCGCCGCCAUCGUCUACGACGUCUUCUUCAUCACCCCCAACUACGAGCAGAUCCCCCCGCCCGACUACUGAUCAUCGAUCAUCACCCCACAGCCCCCAGCCAAGCCGCCUCCUUUCCAUGCAUAAAAUUCUCGAUCCUUGCAUGCAGUACUCGUCGUUAAUUUCCUGUUUUUUCUUAAUGAAUCUAUCUCGUGCAUGGUUUAAUUCUGUUGUUCGAUCGGUGGUGGUGGUGUAUUGAUUUCGAGUCUUUCUUUCUCAGUCAUCUUCUUUUAUUUCCGAUCGAUCAUUCGUGGUCGUCGUCGAUGUCGUCUACUCCUGCUCUUUGUUCAUAAUGCUGAGUUGAGUUUCUGCUGCUGCUUCUGUUGAACCUUGGAAAAAAGAGCUUUAAAAAAAAAGAGUUUUUUUUCUCACUCUCUCUCUCUCUCUCUCUCCUCUGUUUUUUCUUUUUUUUUUCCCCAUUGAGUAUCAUAAUAAUAAUAAUAAUAAUAAUAUUAUUAUUAUUAUUAUUAGGUUAAAUUAAAGAAAAAUUUAUUAUAAAUAUUUAAUUUUUUUAUUUUUUUAUUCUAAUUUUUAAAAAUUUAUAUUCUACCUCUCAACAUUUCAAGUUAUUGUCCUUCAAAAUAAUAAAAAUAUAUAAAAAAUUACUUUUUUAUAUAAAAAAAGAUUAUUUGAUUAUUUUGACCUCUCUGUUUUAACAUCGUAAAAAUAUUUUUAAAAUUUUUAAAAAAUAAAAUAUAAAUUUUUAAAAAAUAAAAAAAUAAAAAAAUAAAUAUUUAUAAGAAUUUUUUUUUAUAAUUUAAUCUUAUUAUCAUUAUUGAAAGGAAACCAUAUUUGGUUAUUAUUAUUAUUUAGAGCAUUGCUAGAUCUAUUACAGCUAGUCCAUCUCAGGACUAGUUUUGUUUUUUACACUUUUUUUUGUCAGGUUAAAUGCAUACACCCCCAAAACUUUAGCCCCUUUGGAAACUGAUUUUUUUGAACUUUUUUCUAUUUGAUUUACACUCACACAAUUUAUAAUUUUAAAUAAGUUUGAAAUUAUGCAUUAGAAUAGCACUAUUCCAUCAAAAUGGUGGAAUAGCAAAUUUCUCGCUAUUUCGAAAUAACCAUGUUGAUACCAAAAAAUUAACACACGCCGACCUAACCCACGUAUGAGUCAAAUAAAUAAGGACACGUGGUGCAUCAGGAGUCGACAAUAAGGCGCCUGAAGGUCAAGAGCAUUUAGACGGGAACGGUCGAGAAAUGAGGUGUAACUUCCAUGAGAAGUGGGGUGUAACUUCUAAGAUCAUGUCUACACCACUUCCCCCACUACUAAAAACCGACCAAUAAUGUGGGCUGAGAAGACAUCACUAUAAAUAGUAACUUCAAAGACUGUAAUAUGGGUCUUUCUCCCCCUUGAACGGGAAGACUACCGCAUUUUCAAUACUUUUCUUUCCUACACUUAUCGUUUUCUAGGAGUAGUUUACAUGUAAUUAUUUUUAUCCGCAUUUACUGCUUUUAUAGGAGUAGUUUUAAAGUUAGAUCUCUGGAGUUUGUAUACCCCACAGGCACACUCUGUUGUAAUCUAGAUUUUCAGAGUCUGUAUGCCUUUCAGGCACACUCUGCUUUAUUAAUAUAUAAAGACAUUCGGCUCUUUCAACGGAUCAGUCACUGUGUAUUCCAUAUAUUCAGCUCAUCAGCCGACCCAAAAUCUUGUGCAUUCUGUACAUUCGGCUCUUCUAGCCGAACCGAGUCUAUAGUAAAGGUCUUCGAACUCGGCUGAUCCGAUCCCUCGUCAGCCGAAUCGCUUGAUCCAGUCAAAGGGCGCAAACUUCGAGGGUCACCAUCCGAAGCCGUUUUUCAUCCUGACACGCUCCCCGAUGAGGAUCUUUGACCGAAUAAAGAGUUAGAGAAUUCGGCUAGCAACAAACCGGGAAUAGCAAGAUUUGAUCGGAAUAAAAUAUUCCUGCCAAAUUUCAUCCUGUUUGGCGGAAUAGCGGGAAUAACUUUUGUUAUCCCCGCUUAUCCUCCGAACCAAACGGGGCCUUAGAGAUUCUAUUACAACCAAAUACUCGCAAGAGAUGCAUGUUCUUAAGAAUUAUUUUAUAAAAAAGAAAAGCUAAAUUACAAAAAAUCCUCCUGUAAUAACCCGCUUUUUCACUUUUCCCCCCUGACAUUUAAAAACCUACACUUUGCCCCCCUGUAAAAUGAAAAAUGUUCACAGGGGAGUUACGGUGUGUAAAAUGACCAUUUUGGCCCUCGCCAUUGUCGUCUUCUUCCCCAUCUUCCUCAGCCGCCCCUUCGUUUGGCCGCGAUUCCCACCUCAAUCGGCCGCGAUUUCUCUCCAUUUUCUUCUCCACCUGCUCCCCUUCUCCUCCUGCACCCUCGCCGCCCUCGAUUUCGCCGACAUUAGGAGAAAACCGAGGUGGGCGACGGUAGGAGAAGGGCAAAGAAGGCGAAGGCGAGGCGGCAGAGGAUGGCGAAGGGGAUGUGGGUGAGGGCGAGGCAGUGGAGGACGGCGAGGCGGCUAGGCGGCGAGGCGGCGAGGCGGCGGCGAGGUCGCGAGCCGGAGGGAGGCGAAGCAACAGGGAGAUGGUGGAGGAGUAUUUUCAGCAUAAAAAUAUAUUUUUUAACGUAACCCUAAUGGUAGGGGGUGAAGUGCACAUUUUUUAUUUUACAGGGGGGCCAAGUGUAGGUUUUUAAAUGUCAGGGAGGAAAAGUGAAAAAACGAGUUAUUAUAAGGGGGUUUUCUGUAAUUUAGCCAAAAAGAAAUGAUAUUCAUCUCUCGUAAGCGUUAGAUAUAUUCCAACAAAAAUUACAAAAUUACUUAAGAAAGAUCUAAUUCAGAUAUCUAAAUCAAAAGAUCUAGAAAAAGUGUAAAUCAAAAAAAUGUAAAUCAAAUAAAAAAAAUUUAGAGGAUCAAUUUCGAAGCAGGUUAAAGUUAAGGAGUGUCUAUACAUUAUAAUCUUAUUAAGGGAUAAUAUCUAUCUAAUAUACUUUUCGAAACUUUAAAAAUAUUUAAUAUAUUCCUAGUUGAUCAAAAUACUCUUAUUAAUUUUAAAAAUUUUCUCCAAAUAUCUUCAAACUCUUAGAGUUUACUACUUGAAUUUGAUGUUUGCACAAAUUUCAUCAAAUUUUAGAUUUAUUUUAUUAAGUAAGAUCCAUAAAAUUUCAUCAAUUUUUCUUAGAAUUUAAUGUUUGCACACAUUUUUAAUGUUUUCACACAUUUUUCUUUACAUGUUUCUGCCUCAUUUUCAUUACCGUCAAUUUUUUUUUGAAAAAAAUGAUAAAAUUAAUAACAACAAAAAAAAAGAGAAACUACUACAGCUCCUUAAAGUGGCCGACCAACACUCGAGUUAUAAUUAGUAAAGAUAUUCGUACAUAUUGACUUGUUCAACUCUGUCCUAUUUUUAAUUUGAUGAACUACACCUAAUGAAUGAGGACACUUUUUUUUUGUUUUUGUUUUGCUUUUUUUUUUUUUUUUUUUUUUUUUUAAUUGACACAUGGGGACACAAAUAGAGCUAAAGGUGUCCGGAGUGUACUAGCAAAUAAAAAGGUAAAAAUUUAAUAGGGAUAUUAAAUUUUCUUUAUUUAAAUGUUUGUAUUAUUACCCUAAUUAAUCAUUAAAAAAAAACUAAUAUAAGGACGCUUUUUAGACCACGUAAUAUAACAAAUAUUGACGCUUCAAAAAGCGUCGUCAUAUAAACCCUCCAUUAUAUCAAAUAAUUUAUUAAAUAAUAAAUUUUACUAUUAUUUUUAGUUUUUCGACGUUUUAAAGCGUCAGAAUUUUUAAAAAUUCUGACAUUUCACGGUAUCAAAAUAUAUUUUAUUGGCGCUUUGUAGUAACCCUGGAAUUCAGCAUUUGAGACUUGUCGACAGCUUUGGAGAGUGUCGAGACAAGUCCGAGUACUAUUGGUACGAAAUAGACGCAAACUGGACUCAGCGGGACGCGAGAGUAGGAAGUUAGCAUUGUAAUCUGCAAAUCGCAGAUUUUCAGCAAUUGGUACCGGUACCACACAGGGGCGUAUCGGUACCCAGUGCAUUUUUCUGCACAGACUGCUCUCAGGUCGGCUAUUCUACUGCGUGGUACCGGUACAGCAUUGGUUUGGUACCAGUACACCAGGGUAAGUGAGGGGCUGUUUGUUCUUUUGGCUGCCUCGUUGUUCUCAUCCUUACCUACUUCCUUAUAUAUAUGUGGGAGAGCUGAGAGGAAAGUUUCUUGCUGUUCUUCUUCUCCUCUCUCUCUCUAGCUUGGACCGUACGUGGAGAAGCUCUCGGGUUGAGUCGGAUUGACGCCGACGUCGCGCCGCGGUGCCGUUCGAGCGUGCGUUCGUCGUGGUAGGGGAGGCCGGGCGAGCGUGUGGUUCCGCUUCUGUUGACUUCUCGCCGUAGUUAGACGCACUUUCGAGGUGGGUCAAAAUGAUGCUUACCGAAUUCUACGGGUUUCCUUCUAAUUCUAUAUAUGUCGACAGCAUGUGUUUUUAGCUUUGUUUAGUACAUGGUUUAGCUCGAUUUUCGGAACUGCAUGCUUUUAAAUGUGAAUUGGAGCUUAGAAAAAUUAGCUAAAUUAUACAUGUUGGACUUGAAUUUGACUUUGCAGAAAACUGACGUUUCUACACCGUCAUUUGAUCAAACUACCAGAUUCAGCUCUAUGAGCCGUAGCUUGUUUGUAUCGCCGCAGUUUGUGGGCGGUGGAUAUCCAGAAUAGUGUAGAAUAAUAUUACGCUCGUGCUGGGAUGCCGAGCUUAGUUUUACAGUAUUGUUUAGACUGUUCCAGAUUGUCGGGUGUCGUUGGGGUUGAUGGUGGACCCAGAUCGCUGUUUUUGCAUCAGAUUGUGGCGAGGGCACGUGUGUUUUGGUUGUUAGACCCUGUUAUUUGACUAUAGCCUGUGAGAGAAGGAUUGAGCUCGACAGAGACACGCUUGCAUACUCUGUUGGGUAGCGCCCACGAGUGCCACUCCAGAAUCGGGCUUUGUGCGUUUGCGUUGGUGUCGUUGUGUCCUGAUUGGACUUGAUCUCCAUUGACGACCUGGUUGGUGUCAGAUAGUGUAACUUCGACAGGUGGGACGGGUGUGUUCAUAGUCCCUAGUGAGAUUGGGUUAGGAUUUACAUUUUCUACAGAUUGUUGUGUUAGAGUAUGAUAAUAUAGUGGCAUUUAGCUGUAGAUUUGUUUCAACUUUUCUUACUAUCCCUGCUUACUUUUGUAGAGUUAGUGGGUGAACCGUUGAGAUCGGUAGCGGUACCCACUGAGGACUACUUUUUUUUGCAGUAGUUCUCACAUCCAGUUGUUGAAAUCUUUUGUAGAGCCUUCUUCUUCGGCUGCUGCUGCUGCUGCUGAGUCUGAUCGUGGAAAGGGUGUUGCGAGUUAGAGCCCUUCCUAACGAGUUGCUGAGCUAGAGAAGUACCAGUUACAGAUAGUUGUAGUUUUUGAGUUUUUACACAUACUGUGUUGUAUCUCGCUGGAGCGAGCUUUUUGUACACCUGGAUUCGAUGUAUGUAUAGUGAACUUUUGUUUUAUUUUUAUUCUCUUUUAGCAGCCUAUACUACUGGUUGUAGUAUUGUAUGAUUACAGAUACAGCUAUCGCUUCGUAUACAGGAAAAAUUCCUUUGUAUACGGUGAAUUUGUCAGCGUGCCCGGAGAAACGAGUAAUCCGGGGCGUAACACGCUUGGUAUAAGUGUCGGUUUAUACGUGACGACUCUUAAUUUGCUGACGCUUUCAAAAGUGAUUGUAGAUUAUAUUGGGAUAUUUUUAACCAUUGUUAAAUAUUAAAAAAAAUGUGUCCUUAAAUGUAAUUAUAUUUUUGUAGUAAUUUAGUAUAAAAUGAAUCUAAACAUAAAUUUAUAUGAAUGUAAAAAGUAUGUGAAACUAAUUCACCGAUCGAGAGAGUUUAGGACUGUCUCCUGUAGAAUUGAGCUAGAAUACUUUUAGAAUUAUCACCCCUUUGGUGCUAUUAGGUUUUUAGCCCUUGGAUCUACUCCUUGAUUACUAAUAACCCUUAAAUCAAACACUAUUCCACAUACCACCACCUACCACCACUUAGCACUCUUAUCUCAACCUUACAUCCAUCCAUCUAAUGGCUAAAAACUCAAAAGUACCACCUUUAUGGUGCUUUUGAGAGUAUUCUAGCUCUACUCGUCUCCUGUAACAUAUUAUAUAAUUUCACUUAUAUUAACAUUCUCUUUGAACCGAAAAAAAAAAAAAAAAUCAUUUUGUUCGUUGUUUGGAUGUUCCAAAGAGAGAGAGAGAGAGAAAAGAAACCAAAAAAAAAAAAAAAAGAUAACUGGGUUAUCUUCCUUACUUCCUAUCCAAAAUCAAAAAGAGAAUAUAUAUAUAUAAAUAUAUAUAUAUAAAGAGAGAGAGAGAGAGAGAGAGAGGAAGAGAGAGAGAGAGGAGAGCUAGACUCCUAUGCUUUUGAAAAGUACGGAGGCCUCCGUACUUGUAAGUUUUUUCAAUGAUGGGACCAUCUGAUUGGCGAUCGGUUCCGUUAAACAUGAUCUACGCUAUUGGAACUAUUUAGAAACAAAUUUCAAUAAUUUUUUGACUUCGUUUGCUAGUGAACGAGUAGCCUCAAAUGAACGGCUGAAAAUAAAAAUCUCAUAAAAAACAGUGAUAAAUGACUCAAAUUUCAAAUCGAAGUAAUUGUUCUUGCUCUUGAUAUUAAGUAGAAUUUUCUAUUAAAAUUUCAUAUAAUUUGGAUAUCUUCUACACCGUUGAACUUAAAAACGUGCCACAUCGGCCGUUAAAAUAGUCAUUUUUUGAGACCAUGUGAUCGCUUGUAAAAUGAUGUCGAAAAAUUUUGAAAUUUGGUUUCUAGAUAGUUCCAAUAGCAUAAAUUUUGCCUAACAGAGCCGAUCAUCGAAUUGGAUGUCCUAUCAUCGAAAACAACUUAUAAUACGGAGGCCUCCGUACUUUUGAAAGCACGGGAGACUCUAAUAUAUAUAUAUAUAUAUAUAUAUAUAUAUAUAUAUAUAUAUAUAUAUAUAUAUAUAUAUAUAUAUAUAAUUGGGCUCCUAUGCUUUUAAAAGUACCAAGUUAUUGGUGCUCGUAAGUUUUUGGCCUUUAGAUUAAUGCAUGUGCGGUUAGGAUGAUGUGGGCCCCCUAGGGUUGAGUGGGUGGUUGGUUGAAUAGUAUAAUCUAACGGAUAAAAAUGAUUAAAGGCAGAGAUCUAACGGUAAAAAAUUUGCAAGCACCAAAUGCUUGGUGCUUUUACAAGCACCAUAGCCGGACUCUAUAUAUAUAUAGAGCUAGGCUCCUACACUUUCGAAAGUACGGGACUUCCGUACUUGUAAGUUGUUUUCGAUGAUGGGACAUCCAAUUUGGCGAUCGGUUCCGUUAAACUUGAUCUACGCUAUUGGAACUAUUUAGAAACCAAAUUUUAUAAUAUUUUGACUUCGUUUGUCUAGUGAACGAGUAGCCUCAAAAUGAACGGCUGAAAAUAAAAAUCUCAUAAAAAAUAGUGAUAAAGAACUCAAAUUUUAAAUCGUAAGUAUUGAUCUUGCUACUGAUGUUAAGUAGAAUUUUCUAUUAAAUUUUUAUGUAAUUUGAAAACUUUUACACCGUGAACAUAAAAACGUGCCACAUCGGCCGUUAAAAUAGUUAUUUUGGAGACCUUUUGAUCACUUGGUAAAUGAUGUAAAAAAAUUAUAAAAUUUGGUUUCUAGAUAUAUAGUUACAAUAGGGUAGAUUAUACUUAACGGAGCCGAUCAUCGAAUCGGAUGUCCUAUUAUCGAAAACAACUUACAAGCACGAAGGUCUCCAUACUUUCGAAAGUACAGAAGACUUUCUAUAUAUAUAUAUAUAUAUAUAUAUAUAUAUAGAAUUAGGCUGGAAUACUAUUAAUAGUAAAAUGCUCUUUUUACUAUCAAGUUUUUAACCCUUGGAUGAAAAAUUGUAAGGUCAAGAUGAUAUUAGUCGGUUAGAGUUGAGUGGUCCCUUAGGGUUGAGUGGUCCCCACUGGGUUAUAGUAUUUAAUCCAAUGGUUAGAAAUAAUGAAAAGAGUUGAUCCAAAGGCUAAAAAACUGGUAGCAACAAUGAAAUUUUGCUACUAAUAGUAGCCCAGUCCAACUCUAUAUAUAUAUAUAUAUAUAUAAUGAGGCUAUUAUGCUUCUGGAAGCACGGAGCCUUGCCGUCGUUUUCUGGUUGAUGUUGCGCUUUUCGAAUCGUCGAUCGGCUCCGUGUAAACUUGAAUUUAGAGUAUUUGAAGUAUCGUAAAAAUAAAUUUUGCAAUUUUGCGAUAUCAUAUUGCAUCAGUGAACUAAGGGGCUCAAAAUCAACGGCUGAAAAAGUAAAAAUCUUACAAAACAUGAUAAUAUUGACAUUAAAAUUUUAGAUCAAAGAUAUUGAUCUUGUUUAUAUAGAUAUAAAGAAUUCUAUCAAACAAUUUCACAAGUGAUUGAUAUUUCUAGAUCGUUAAACUUGCACAAACGGCUCACAGCACACGGCCAUUAAAUUAUUGAUUUUUGAGUCCCUUCGAUCACAUAGGUAAAAUGAUAUCGAAAAAUCAUAAAAUUUAUUUUCAGGUAUUUUCAAAUAUUCUAGAUCAAGUUUAAACGGAGCCGAAUCGACGAUUCGAAAGUCGCAAUAUCGAAAACGACCUGUGAGUACGAAAGGCUCCGGGUCCAGAAGCAUAGUAACAUCACUCCUAUAAUAUAUACUAAAUACAUAUAUACUAUUGUAUCAUCCUAUUAAGCUAGAGCAUCGACAAUGUUGCAUAAAAUACAGAUCACAUAAUUGCAUGCGCGAUGAUCAAUGAUUUGUGUCAAGUUAUUAUUAUUUAUUAUUAUUAUUAAUUAUUAUAAUAUUUAUUAUUAUUAUAUAUUAUUAUUUAAAAGUAUAUUAUCUGUUUUGUUUUUAUAAAAUAAAUUUAGUUGAUGUUUUUUUGUUUUUUUGUUAGUGACUUUUCUUAAUCCGAGGCAAAUUUAUGUUAUAUAAUUAACAGAUAUACUUAAUCCAGAAGCAAUAAAUGAUUGUCACGCGAGUAAUAAUGAGAUAGGAAAGUAAAUCAACAAUUGAGAGCAAUUAUUAACUUUCGGAAGUAUAUAAUAAAUAAAUAAUAAAAUAAAUAUAUAAAUAUAUAUAUAUAUAUAUAUAUAUAUAUAAUAUAAUAUAUAUAUAUAUAUAUAUAUAUAUAUAUAUAUAUUUGGAACCAUUAACAUAUAUACUUGAAUGCAAUUAUUAUUAGAAUUAUUAUCAGUUAGUUUUUGACAAUAUCCAUAAUCGAACCAAAAUCGCCAAUUUCAGUUUAUUUUGGUUCGAUUUUAAUUAUAUAUAAUUUUAAAAUUUUACAAUAAAACGUUUUAAUUUAUUUUUAAAUUGAAAACUUAAAAUAUCAACUCAUAAUAUAUAUUUUCAUAUGCUUUUGUGUGUAUAUAUAUAUAUAUGUACGUACCUAAUGAGUGUGUGUACUAAUAUUUAAUACAAAGCUAUCAUUUGAUACACCAAGUAAUUGAAACCCAAAAAUCAUCUGAUUAAUUAAAAAUUAAACAAAUUAACUGGUACAUCAUAUAUUCAAACUAUUUUUAAAAAUUCAAGUAUUCAAACUUACAAGCAAAAUCAAAACCAAACUUAAAUUUUAAAUUUGGUCAUUUUAAUUUAUCUUAUAAUUCAAAUCGAACUGAAUCACACCACCACAAACCGAUUAAUCUACAAAUCAAAAUAUUGCGCGGAUAUUAUUUUAAAAAAUAAUCUUUUUGAUGUAUUUUUUGUUCAUUUUUGUUUAAACAAUAGGCGUUUAAUUUUGCGUGACACAUUUUAUUUUGGUUUCUUAAACAUAAUUUAUACGUUGUAGCAAUUUAAUGGUUGUAAAUUUUGUAAUUUUUCUCACAAAAAUGAGCUACUGUUGCAGUCGCAUUCAUGAAAAUUUAGUUUUACAUCAUUUUCUCAAAAUAAAGUUUUAGGAUUUAGGAAUCUUUCAUACAAUGAGAGCUAUGUUUAGGGAGGGAAAAAAAAGUAACUAAUAUAUAUACUCAAUUAUAUCAUCCUUUAACAUCUUAUUUGUUAUCUUUUUUUCUUUUUUUUUUUGAGGUGAAUAUUAACUCACUAGAACCUGCUAAAUAAUUCAAGCAUAUGUCAUAAGAAAAAAAAAACAAAGUGGUCUCUUUCUUUUAGCUUUCACUUGUGAAUCAGGACUUGUCCAACCAACCAAGGGAGAGAGUGAUGAGAAUUAACCAAACUCUUGCUUCAAUUUACCAUUUAUUUUGUGAUGAUUUUAUACACUGAAAAAGCCAGAAAAGUAUUUACUUUAUACCAUUCAAAUUCUUCAUGUUUAUGCAAAAAAAAUUUUGUCUAAAUUCUUGUUGGAUCAUUGGUACUAAAUAUUAAUCUCAAAAACUCGAGCUGUUAAAAAAAUACAACAAAUUUAUUUAAAACGUACAGACACAGCGCCUACAGGUCUUGAUUGUGAUUCGGCCCAACUAACCUUAUGCCACUUCGAACAUGACUUGGCUAACCCAACGUCACGCCAUUUGAACGUGACUUGGCUCAGCCUAACCUCUCGCUACAAGACAGAAUACUGGCCUCUUUAAACUAACAAUCCGACAAAUGCUAUCAGAGUAGAAGGUUCUGAGUUCGAAUUACGUCAGACUCCUAACAUUAUUAUUUUCUUUUUAUUUAAUUCAAGUCCACAUCAUGAGUCUAGCGAAAAAUCUUAAGCUCAGAAGUGAGGGCGAGUGUUAAAUAUAAAAAUAUUUAAAUACCGUUCUCUACGGACUUAUAAUGACAAUUUCGUAUUAUUUAACACAAACUAUCAAAAAUAUUCAUUUAAAAUACUUUAGCUGUAACAAUUGGCCAUAGACCAACUAGGCAGGGGUGUAAACGAGCCGAACACGAGCGAGCUCGGGUCGGCUCGUGUUCGGCUCGUUAAUAAACGCAGUCGAACACAGAGCUGGGCUCGUUGAAAGCAUCGACCGAAAAUCCAAAGCUCGUUUCGGCUCGUUUAUUAACUGAGCCGAACACAAGAACUGGGCCUACGAGCUGCCAGCAGCGACAAUAAAUUAAAAAAGGAUUAAAUUAAAUAUAUAUAAAAAAAUAAAUUUAUAAAAUCUUAUCCAUUAGACUUUGAUCUAAUAGUUGAAACUUUACAUAUAAAUGAGUCUUUUUAUAAUUAAGCUCGCAUUUAUAUUUUUAUUUUGCUAAAAUUUAAAUAAUAAAAAUAUAUAUUAUAUAUAAUUAUUUAUUUAUAUAUAAAAAUAUAAAUUAAAUAAAUUAUAUAAAUAUAAAAUAUAUGUAUUCGAACUGUUAUCGAGCUGAACACGAGCGAGCUGACCCCAGCUUGUGUUCGACUCGUUUAUUAAACGAGCUAAAAAAUUCAGCUUUUGUUCGGCUCGUUUACUAAAUGAGCAAGCCGAUCUCGAGUUCAUUUCGAGCCGAACACGAGCUGGCUCGCGAACAUCGAGUUGGAUUGCCACCCCUACAACUAGGUGGUCAUUCAUUUUACCUUUAUAUAUAAUGCCAUCCAAAUUUUCUUACAUCUUAAUUUUGUUCCAUAUAUAAUUUUCACCUCUAUUUCCAUUAAUUAUUCUUCCUUUUGUUUUGAUGAGCAAUAAUAACAACAAAGCAAUGUUCUAGAUAUAAUCACAUCAACAAAAUCUAGAAAAGGAUUUCCAGCUUGGCCAUGUUCAUCAAUUGGAUAUAUAUGUGGUCCUAAUCCUAUUCUUUAAUUAAUAAUAGGGGCCAUGCACCAAUCCUUGUACAAAAAGCCAUGUGACUUUUAAUGAAAAUAAAUAAAUGAAAUGUAUCCAAAUCAUCAUAGGUCACCCUAAAAUUCAAUUGGUGCAAAUCAUGGCUACCUUUUGGGAAAGAGGAAAAAAAGAAAUGUUUGGUAUUUGCAUUUUGGUGGUUGUAAUAUGAUUGCUUAUAUUACAACAAAACUUUUAGGAUAAUAUUUUAAAGGAAAAACUUUAAAUGCUCUUCGCUGUUGUUUCGUACUUUUUUUUUUAUUUUAGUAUUCUAUAAUUUAAAAUGUAUCAAUUUAGUAUCUCGUGAUUUCAUUUUUCUUUUCAAUUUAAAAUGUAUUAAUUUUUUUCAUUAAAUCAGUAACGUCAAAGUUAAAACUAAAAGUUACUAAAAUGAAUAUUCGAUAAACCUAUGUGGGGUAUCUGAAGUUUUUGCAUAUAAUUUAACGAAAUAUUAACAAAAGAGCUGAAGAAAAAAAAAAAUGAAACCAUAGAUACUAAAUUGAUACACUUUAAACCACAAGUUACUAAAGUAAGAAAGUACGAAAAUUUACUCUAUUUUAAAAAAUAAAUAUUUUUAUUUUUACAAUAAUUUAUAUUUUAAGAUAGAGAGAAGUUAAAAAAAUAUUGUAUUUAGUUGAUAUUUUUCUUAUUUCUAGAAUAAUUAAAAUUAUACUUGGUUGUUUUCUUAAGAAUUGGAAAAAAAUGCGGUGCAAAGAACACGGCUAAAGUGGAGUCUGAGACAAAGAAUAAACCGAACAAUAGUUUAUUUCAAAGAGCGGAGAAAUAGCUCAUAACAAGUUAUUUCUAAAUGAUAUAAAAUAAUUUGAUUUCAUUAGAAUAAAUUAUUGCGAUCAAAUUUAGCUGUGUUUAAUUAGCAUAAUACAUAAAAUAAAAUGCUCUAUUCUUGGAUUAUUUUGUUACCAAAAUGCAGUUUUACUAGAUUUUACAAAAGAACAUAUAAUUUUGUUGAGCUUUUGUACUCUACUUAAUUUCUCUCCAUGGAAAUAUUCUAGAAAGAAUUAACUGAGUUGUUUUAUUUAUUAAUUAAUAACUACUAACCCCCUUGAAAAAUUUAGUCUUUUAUAAAUUAUGAAAAAAACCUUGCAACAUAGUUAUAAAUACAAAUAAUACAUCACUUGUCAUGGGAAAGUGAUAUUUUAUGUCUAAAAUAAAACAUUCUUUUUCCAAUAUCAAAUUAGAAGAUUUCUAUUCACUAAAAAUCAUCCAAAAUAUGAACCAAGCGUGCAUGUGAUUGCUACAUAUGAUUGCUUAAGAGGAUAGGAAGGAAUAUUUUAAGUAGGGUUUUUUUUUGCAAUUAGCCCUCUGGAAAAAACUUAUUUUAAAAAUAGCCCCAGCAAAUUUAAAUUUGCAAAAAUGGUCAUGAUUUUACCACACAGGCGCCACAUCAACGCCACGUGGAUGUGUUGGGGCGUUAAGUUGAACACGAACGCGCUGAAUGGUUCACCGUGUUCCAUACUUAUCUUUUUCAUAAUACGUAUAUUUUUUCUUUCCUUUUUCUUUCUCCAGACACGGUGAACUAUUCACCGUGUCUAAACACAGUGAAUGGUUCACCGUAUUUAACUUAACUAUCUAGCCCAGCCCGGCCCUCAUGGCGCUGAUAUGGUGCCUGCGUGGCAAGACCAAGACCAUUUUGCAAAUUUAAAUUUACCAGGUCUAUUUUUAAAAUAAUUUUUUUGGCAGGGGACUAAUUGCAAAAAGGCCUUUUAAGUACCAUUUGUCUCAUUAAUUACAUAUAUUUUUAGGGUUUCAUAGAAACAACUAGAAAAACAAAGAUUCUUCUAGUUAGUGUACUCACCUAAUGAUUAAUUCUGAUUUUUUUAAAAAAAUUAAUUAAGCUAACAAAUAAUUAAUAGUGUUUUAGUAUCUUAUUUUCAUUAUUUUUGAGACCGCUUGAUAGGCUUACGACUUGAAUUUAAAUUAAAUGAAGGGAGAUAAUGAAUCGUGUUUUUAUAUAUUUUAUAUUCAAUAAUAAUUUUACUUUACUCAUUAUCUCUAUUGCAAGUACUACAUAAAAGAUUUAAUGGCUGAUAUUUGAGAUUCUAAAUUUAAAAUUUAAUUGCUCUAUAUUUUUAGCUAAAUUUAUUUUUUAAAAUAUAAAUAAGACAAUCUUAUUAAAACAUAACUUAAGACGUAGUUGGCUAACGGCUCAAUAGUUGUUAUUUGAGAUUUUUAGUUUGAAACACAAUUGCUUCAUGUAUAUUUUAAGCUAAAUUUAUUUUUAAAAAGUAAAAAGUAUACAUAACUUAACUGAACUAUAGAGCCGACUCAAAGUGGUCCAUCAUUAAGAUAAGUUCUGCAUGCUUUACCUUUUUUUAGAAAAAAUUAAAUAAAGCAUAUAACUCUCUCUCUCUCAAAAAAAAUAAAAUAAAAUAAUUUCCAAGUUGGUCCCCAAACUUUGGCCUCACUUUCAAUUGUGUCCUUAUAAUUUUAAUUAUAUAUAAUAAUUAAAUCAGCUUAUGUUGUACAAUGUUAGGUAAUGGAAUAACAAGGGAUAAAUUACUUUACUAUACAAACACAUUAAAAGUUUAGAAAAAUAUUUUAUCCUAGCUAAUAAAAUGGAUUAUCUCAUUGCAUUUUUCUUAGAAGCAGGGUGACAAAAAAUCUGUCCUCAUUAAGAUAAGUAAAUUUUCAUGUGAAAACACUAGUCAUGCUAACAUUGUGACUUCAAUUUUUUUUAACACUUCUGCAAAAGCUCUAAUUAAUUGAGAAAAAUAAAUAUUAUGAACCACAUUUAAUUAUUAUCCCCUCUCAUCUAUAUCUAUAUCUAUUUCUUUACAUUAAUCUUCAUGGCUAAAUCCUACAUGUACGUACUCUCUUAAUUUGGAAAAGAGCGGGACCUACUUUUUUUUUUUUCUCAUUUUCUUUCUUUUUUCUCAUUUGAUUAUUGUGUUAUAGAAAUAAUUUUAAUCGCCUAUUUGCAUGAUAUGUGACUUCUCUUGAAUAAGGUUUAAUAGUUUUGUUGAACGAUUAAAUUAUUUUCAUUAUAAUUUUACUUUUUAAAAGUAUUUGUCUACAAUAUAGACUAUAUUUACUAUUUUUGUACUAAACUUAUAUUUUAUUCUUUACAAAUUUUUACUUUAACUGUAUCUACCCGCCGUAACGCGCAAAUCGAUCACUAAAACACAUGAUUUAAUGCGGUUAGAAAUAUUAAUUAAGUAUCCAAACCAACCCCCAUCACCAUGCAUUACCAUGCAUGCUAUUAUUUGGCUUUAUUGAAUUGCAUGCUUAAUUUGUCCUUGCACUAAUCUUUCAAUGUUCUUUAUUAUUUUUUAGCUCAAUGAUUACAAAUUUAAGCAAAGUACAAACUUUGUUAGGCAUAGUGCGAAAAUAUAAUAUUUUUUUUAUUUUUAUAAAUAAUAUUUUAUUAUACAUAGAGUAAUAAAUUAACUAAAAUAUUUUUUGUAAGUUUAUCAAAGAAGUAUAUUUUUCUAUAUUAGUAUUUAAAUAUUCUUUUUAUGACACUAUUUUUUUAUAGAAGCAGUUAGCAUUCUACCCGCGUCGAUUAUUUCUUUUAGAAAUAAACUUAGCUAGAAAUAUGAAUCAACUAGUAUUCGAACUUGAAAUUUCAGAUAUCAACUACCAAACUCUUUGCAACUUGCGCUAGGAAUAGUCGGUUUUAUGACACUAUUUUAAAUUAAAAAAACAACAAUCUUACACUUCAAUAGUUUCAUCAAAAAUUUUUUAUAUACUAAACUAUAGAAUUAUUAGCCAAUUUGCAUAAAAAAUUUAUAAAUUUUCAGCAUUUGCAUUAGUGGACCGUCUUUUUCGAUUUUUCAUAUUCGGUUCGAAUUUUUUGCCAACUGGCGAAAAUACCUCUCGUCUCCCAACGCUCACUCGUACGCUCACAUACGUAUACCUUAUUGUACGAUGUCUGGACGGACAUUGAAAAAAUAUGAUGUAAAAUGAUAUAAAUGAUCAUCGAGGCAAAGCGGGCUUAAAUGUAAAAUAAAAGGCGAAUAUAAAAAUCGAAACAUUCAUUUCAUAUCCUUUCUUUCGAGCACGAAUAUUUCACUUUUAUUAUAUUAAUUUUUUGGGGCAAUUACUUAUAUAUUCCUGAAAAAUUUUCGACUUUCUGAUUUAUUUCUCUUAAAAAGGUAAUAUUAAAUUUUUUUUUUGUUCCAAGUUAUUUCAAAUAUAUUUAUAGAGUUAAAUUCUAUUAAUGAAUUAUUAGCAAUAAAGUUACAUAUGUGGAAUUACUAUUUUGACCUUUCAAAUGUACUUCGAUACCAUCACUAGUUUUUCUUAUUUGCCCUAAAAUUAGGGGCAAAAAAAAUAUUUUAAUUUUUGGUCUUUUCAAAUAUAAUCCUCUAACAUCACCAACUUUUAUUAUUCGCCCUUAAGUUAAGAACAAAAAAGGUAUUUUGAUUUUUUAAAUUUUGGUAGACAUUUAACUCAUAUUUAACCUGAAAUAACUUAAUGGUAGUAACUGCGAAAGUAUUUUUGAAUAACGAAGGAACAUAUGAUGAGUAUAUUAGAAAUAAAAAAAAAGUACGAGUAAAUUAGAUAUUUUUAAAAGUUUGAUAGAUAUAUAGAUAAUUAUCCCUAAUUGUAGUGUCCCUGGUGUUCUGCAGCCCGUAAGUUUCAGCAUUUGAGGUUUGUCAACACAUCUAGAGAGUGUCGAGACAAGUCAGAGUCGUUUUGGGCAAAUUGGAUGCAAAACGGACUCAGUGCAAUACGAGAGCAGAAUUCUGACACUGAAAUACGCAAAGUGCAGUAGUUCAGUGUUGAGUACCGGUACCUGAGAUGAAUACCGAUACCCCAGUGGAUGGCAGAGAUGGAUGCUCUCGGGUUUGCACGUAUUUGAUGCUGAGUACCGGUAUCGACUUGUCGAGUACCAGUAACGAGCUCGAGUACCGGUAUCCAGUGUGCGUGGCUGCGGGCUGAAGGCACGAGUAACGGUAUUCAAGUGGAGUACCGGUACUCCAGCUGAAUUUUUGAGUUGGUGAGGAGGCCUUUUGGUCAUUUGAGGCGUCGUUAAUCCCAACCUUAUCCCACUUCUUUAUAUAUGUGUUGAGAGACAAAGAAGGGGUUUUGGUUGCUGCUUCCUCUUUCUCUAUAAUUUUUGGACGUGCUCGUGGUGGUGGUCGCGGCUCGAGCCGGAACGGUUGUCGACGUUGCGCCGGAGGGUCGUUCGAGCGCAUGGGCGUCGCGGUUGCGCCGUUGGACACCGGGCGAGCGCGUGUUUUUCCUUCUUUCGACUUCUCGCUGUGGUUGGACGAGCUUUGUAAGGUGGGUUGAAGUUUACCAAAAUCGUCGGAUUUCCUCCUAAGCCGAAUUAUGUUAGCAUAUGUUUUCAUGGGUAGAAUUAUGUUUAAAUAGCUCAGUUCAUGGAUUUGCAUAGGUUGUAUAGAAUAUGAAUUUAGAGCUUAGAAUAAUUCUACCUGUUGGACUUGGAAUUGACUUAGGAGAAAACUAUUGAACCCUACACUGUCACUUUUCUGAAAAUUACCAGAUUUAGCUUUAAGAACUAUGGUUUGUUUGUAUCGCCGCUAUUCGUAUGCGGUGGGUACCCGGAUUAGUGUAUGAUGAGUUUAUGCUCGUGCUGAGAUGCCAACCUUAUUUUACAGUAGUGUGUAGACUGUUUCGGACUGUCGGUGCCGUCGCGGUUGACAGUGGACCCAGAUUUCUGUAUUUUGUAUCAAAUUGGGCCAAGGUUACGUGACCUUUGGUUGUUAGACUAAUUAGACCCGUUUGCAUUGAUUACAGUCUGUGAGAGCCUGAUUGAGCUCGGCAGGACACGCUUGCAUACUCGGUUGGGUGCGCCCACGAGUGCCGCUUCAUUGUCUGGCUUUUUGCUUUGCGUUGAUGUCGUUGUUGUCCGGUUUGGACUUGCUCUCCACUGGCAGCCCUUGGGGUGGUGUUCAGUGUAGCUUCGACAGGCGGGAUGGGUAUAUUCACAGUCCCUAGUGAGAUUUGGUCAGAGAUAGCAUUUCUUUUAUCUACAGACAGUUAGUGUUGGUUAGCGAUAAUAUAGUGGCAUAUAGCUGUAGGGUUUCCAGCUUUCCUUACUAUCUCUGACAUACUUUUCUGUAAACUUAGUAGGUGAGCCGUUAAGGUCGGUGACGGUACCCACUGAGUACUACUCUAUUUUGUAGUAGUUCUCACACCUAGUUGUUAACCCCUUUUUGCAAAGCCUUCUUCUGCGGCUGUUGCUGUUGCUGAUUCUGACAGCGAAAAGGAAGUCGCGAGUUAGAUCCCUUCCAGUUUUGUUGCGGUGCUAGAGCAGUACCUUCCAGGGGUAGUUUUUGGGCUUUCUUUGUACAUACUGUGAUGUUGUCGAGGUGCUCCCUUGAGCGAGUUGUGUUGUAAACAUUUUGUAUGUACUGGAACCCCUCGAGAUUUUAUAUAUUUAUCUUUUACAGUUUAGCAGCUCUCUACCUUGUGAUUGUAGCUUGGUUUCGUUAUAGGUACAGCUAUCGCUUCGUAUACAAAAAAAAUUUCUAUUUAUAUGGCGAGUCUGUUGGCGUGCCCGGAGAAACGUGGUAAUCAGAAACGUGACAUGUUAACUGGCUCAAAUCAGACAAAUUGAGAGUUUAGAUACUAAAAUCAAAAUUGUGAAAGAGUGAACAGUCGAUUCAAAAUUGUUUAUUAGGGCUUUUUUUGCAUAUAGCCCCUUGGCAAAUUUUUAUUUUAAAAAUAGCCUUCUUAAAAUUUAAUUUGCAAAAAUAGCCCUGCGCCUGCCACGCAGACGCCACGUCAACGCCACGCGGGCGGGGCCAGGGCCAAUGUGUUAAAUUAAACACGGUGAACCAUUCACCGUGUUUAGACACGGUGAAUGGUUCACCGUGUUUAGUACGUAUAUUUUAUAUGUUGAAAAGAGGAAUAGAGAGUAGGGAUGUCAAUAGGUAUGGAUAUCCCAAAUAUUAUCCGAACCCAAGUCCGAAUAAAUUAUAUAUUAUAUAUAUAUAUAUAAUAUAUAUAUAUAGAUAUUAUAUAUAUAUAUAUAUAAAAUUUAUUCGGGCUUGGGUUCGGAUAAUAUUUUAGAUAUCCAUAUCUAUUGACAUCCCUACUUCAUAUUACUCUUUUCAACAUACAAAAUAUACAUAAUAAACACGGUGAACCAUUCACCGUGUCUAAACACGGUGAAUGGUGAAGACACGGUGAAUGGUUCACCGUGUUUAACUUAACACAUUGGCUCUUGCCCCACCCGCGUGGCGCUGACGUGGUGCCUCCGUGGCAGGCUCAGGGCCAUUUUUGCAAAUUAAAUUUUGACAGGGCUAUUUUUAAAAUAAAAAUUUGUCAGGGGGCUAAAUGCAAAAAAAAGUCUUGUUUAUUAUUCAUGUAAAUUCUAAACAUUUUUACCAAAAGUAAAUAAACAAUUUUUUUUUUCAAAAAACACUGUUGCUACAACACGAAGUUACAUGGAUAAAGGUUCUGAUAGAUGUGUACUAUUUUUAAUUUACUAUCCAACCUUUUCAAAAUUUAAAUGUACUAUCCAAUUGUUCAAUUUAUUUGAUUUGAUCAAUCAACUAAACUUUAAAAUAUUAAGCUAAUUUUUUAUUUUAAUAAAUUUAUAAUUAUAAAAAUUACGUGAAAUGUACUAACUAAAUUUGUAAAAAUCAAUGAUACAUUUAAAAUUGGAAAAACUUCGAAUACCACUCCUAUAGUUUUGCGCUCUCUCACUUUAAUAUCCUGUGGUUUUAUUUUUAUCUUUCCGUUAUCUCUCUGUUAAUUUUUCCGUUAUAUCAAUGAUAAAGUUAAAACUACGGGGUACUAAAAUAAAAAUUCGGUAAACCACAGGGUACUAAAGUGAAUAUUCAAUAAACCAUAUGCGGAGCAUAUGAAGUUUUUUGUUUAUAACGGAGAUGCAAAGAGGAAAAUAAAACCACAGGAUACUAAAGUGAUACAUUUUUAAACUACAAGAUACUAAAAUAAAAAAAAAUACGAAAUCAUAGGGAUGGUAUUUGAAGUUUACUUUUUAAAAAAAUUUUAAGCCAAAGCACCAUUAACUGUAUGAAAUUAAGUAAUUCAUAAGAAGAACUGGAUAAUAAAAUUAAAUUUUCAAAAGGUUAAAUAACUAUUUCAAAGUAGCCUAUAGUUCAGAUAAAUUAUGUACAUGAGUACCACAAUUUUGUUCAUGUAACUUCAUAUUGUAACAACAGUCCUUUUUUUAAAAAAUAUUUUAUUUAUUUAUUUAUUUAAUUUUUUGAAACAAGAGCUUUAACAGGUUGUGAUUGUACGUGUUGUUGUUUGGAGGGGGGGACAAAACAAAGAGAGGUGGGGUGUUGUCACUUGUCACAAGCCACAAGGGGCAAUCGAAAGAAAUUAUACGCCUUUUUGGGUCCCCAUUACGAGAUGCGAAAUCUCGGGAGCAUUCCCUGAUGCGUCUCCUCUAUGGAAAAAUAAAAUUAAAAAAAAAAAAGAAAAAGCAACUCUUUAGAGAUAGAUUUUGGAUUAUGUAAGGUCGUAUUUCAUAGUUAAAAAAGGGGUUUUUUUUGCAAAUAGCCAUCUGACAAUUUUUUUUUUUUAAAUUGGCCCUGUGUAAAAAUUAUUUGCAAAAAUGGCCCUGGCCCCGCCCCGUCAGCGCCACGUCAGCGCCACGCGGGCGGGGCUGGGCCAAGUGUUUAUAUUGAACACGGUGAACCAUUCACCGUGUUCAAUACAAAAUUUUUGUAUUGGACACGGUGAAUGGUUCACCGUGUCCAAUACAAAAUGGCUAAGUGGGAUAUAUUUGUAUUGGACACGGUGAAUCAUUCACCGUGUCCAAUACAAAUAAUUGGACACGGUGAAUGGUUCACCGUGUCCAAUACAAACACCCACAACUUAGCCAUUUUUGGCUAAGUCGAAUGUAUUUGUAUUGGACACGGUGAACCAUUCACCGUGUCCAAUACAAAAAUCUUGUAUUGAACACGGUGAAUGAUUCACCGUGUUCAACUUAUACAAUUGGCCCAGCCCCGCCCGCGUGGCGCUGACGUGGCGCUGACGGGGCGGGGGCAGGGCCAUUUUUGCAAAUAAUUUUUACACAGGGCUAUUUUCGAAAAUAAAAUUUUUUAUGGGGCUAUUUGCAAAAAAAGCCCUUAAAAAAGUCAAAAUUUUGAAGUUUCUUGGAUGUUAAAAACAUGACAUUUAUUAAGUAUUUGUGUUGAGAAGUAUCUUAGAAAUUCCUCGGAAUCUCAUAUGUGAUUGAUUUUGAAUAGUAAUACUGAAAUUUUAAGAGGUGUUUCAGAUGUAGAGUUGCUAUACUUUCGAAAGUAUAAGGAAGUUGAUGCUUUCAACUUUUUAACCCUUAGAAUAAGAAUUGUAGGUGUUAGAUGUAUGCCCUAGAAGCCAACCAGGCCGACACAUAUAUUCUUUUUAGGACAUAAAUUUGUAUUUGACUUUUAAAUAUUAUGAAUAACUUUGGAUUUUUAUUUCCAUUCAUGUUGUGUAUGUGUCCAUGAAUCGUCCAAGGAAUUAAUAAGAUGAUGACAUAUAUUCUCAAGUGUUGAGAAUUUGAGACAUGUGUCAUUGGUGGUUAAUUUCUAAAUGCUCCCGAUCAAUGGAUCAUCAUGGGGACGGUGAUUGAUCCGGUGAGAUUGGUGCAUAGGUCGCUUCCCUUUCUAGCUAUGGCGCUAGAGAGUCUAUUCGCCGGAUCUCGAAUCAGUAGUGCGGGACACUAAACGCGUACCAUAAGUUGGAUGUAGUGUUCUGUUAGAGUAACAAGCUGAUCGGGUGCAUUAGAAAUGGUAACCAACCAAAUGCAACGGACACUUCGGAACCAUACUUUCGUAGCAGUCACAUUGGUGAGUUCAUUAAUACGUCACUCAUGGUCUACGUGACUUACUCAAUUUUGCUAAGUAGCUGUGACUGGUUCCUUUCGGACCCGUGUGCCUCGGCUAUUCACAAAUGAGGUUACUGUAGCUUGACUGUACAUACACUUGGUCGCUAGUACAUUCGGGUCUUGCGUGCUGUGCGUGCAGUAGGUUCAUUGUAGGAAUGGAGUGCGCACUUUAGAUGGAAUCUAUCAUCCUCUUGGUAGAUAGGGGUGUAGUCCUUAUGUGCAUUUAUGAGACAUGAGUUUAAAAUGAUUGGCCAGGGCGCAGAAUAAUAGCAGCGAAAAGGUUUCACGGAAUAUUCAGAAAACUCGAGUCGAAUAAAUUAACAUAAUACAAACGGUGGAGAUUUGAGAUUAAUUCAUAACCUCCGCUAGUCGGCGACUCUGAUAGCAAGGAUUGUAUCACACGGUAACUCACCAAGAGGAUUCAUUAUUCCAUUCUACUAGGUAAUGGACACUUUUACAUGCUGCAGGCGUCACUGUGAUUGUGAGACUAACGAGAUAUUCUAGAGGAUCGAUAAUUUUUAAGUGGGCGAGUUGAAGUGUUGCGCAGAUCCAUUGAAAGGAGUUCAGUGAUAUAUUGAUAGUGCAUCAAAUAUAUAUCUCACUCAACCAGAUAGAAUAGAACACUAUGGUGUGUCACCACAUAAGAGGUUGUGAUUUGAUCGGAAUGAGUAAUCUGCGAUAUUGAAUCGUCGGAGAACCUAAUUGCAUAAUAUUUGAUAAUUGACUAAUUUAUAAUUUGUACAAAUUACUGAGUUAAGUGAUAACAUAUGUAUAGAGAGGAAUUACUAAUAGUUAGUAAAAUUAUAAAAGACUUAAUGCUGCAAACAUGUUGCCAUUAUUAAUUGUUGAAUAUGACUCAAAUUAAUAUAAAAGAUAAUCAAAUUAGAUUUGUCCGAUCUAUGCCAAUUAAGAAAGAAAUUUAAUCUAGAUUUAUACUUAUCCUUAAUUGUCAUUAUAUUAUUAGGAAUAGGAUUAUAUUCCUAUAAAUAACAUACGGGAGUUUUUAGAAAACCCUAGCCGUUAUCUCUCUUCUCUUCUCUCUUCCAUCUUCUAGCAAGAAAGACGUCCUUUUGCAAGGGAGCUAGCACCCCGGUGAGGACAUCGAUCAAAUCAAGAACCUCGUGUGGAUACCUAUAGAGGCCGGACGCGUGUGCGGCUUCAAGAGAACCGAAUUCCACGAUCAUCAAAUUGAGGGGAAGAUCUAUCCGCGAAAAAGGUAAAGAUUCGAUCUUGCUUUUCUUCUUUAAUCUUAAAACAUGAGGGAUCCUAAUUGCGUGGUUUUGAGAUUGGAUCUCGAGAGUUUUCAAAAAUCAAAUUUGUUUGAUUUUUUGUUCCGCUGCGCUUUUACUGUACGCAAUUUACUAACAGUAGGAUAAUAUGGACGAUGGUGGUAUUCCUUAGAGGUAAGUGGUCUCUCUAGGGUUGAGUGAUCCCCUAAAGAUAAUAAUAUUAAUCCAAAGAUAAAAAAUGGUUAAAGAGAUUGAUUCAAGGGUCAAAAAGCUGGAAGCACUAACUUAGUUAUGCUUCAAUUAGUAUAGUCGCUCUACUCGGUGUUUCAGUAUCAAUACUCCAAGUUAAGUAUCAGUACUCAACUUCGUAACGGACUGAGUAAGUUAAAUUUGACUCCAAUUUGAUCUAAUAUUAUGUCUUGAGAUUAGAGAUGGUAUAGGAACACUCAGAAGAGAAUUAUUAAGAGGAGAUCGACGACUAGAAGGGCAUCAAGGAGUCAAAUAGAAGGCAGAGAUCGUUUUGGUACUAGAAUUGAAAUUUUUAGAAUUUUAUAAAUCAUUAUAAUUCAUGUUUUAAAGUGAAGAGUUUAAAGCUUUAUUGUAGAUACUCUAACCAGAAGAAAAGCAUGAAGAACUCCUCGGAGAGCGAGUUUUUUGUAAUCUUAUCUUAUUUUCUAUAUUUUUCUGCCAUAAAUUAAUUGAAAAAUACAUUAGGAUAGUCUUGUCCGUGAAUAUAGAUCAACACAUUGCUGAUCGAAUUACGUAAAUUUAGUGUUCUUGUAUUCUCUUAUUUAUUGUAUUAUUUUGUUAUCAACCUGCUUAUUUUUUAUGAUUAUUUUUUUCUAUAUUUAUUUACGAAAAAAUUUUCACCGUUUUUCAAAUAUAGUAUGAAUUUAAGUAUGUGCUCAGUAACUUCUCAAUGGGUUACUUCAGUAGAAUUGGAGCUUCUCACAAAAUUGAGAAGGUACUUUAAUAAGUUAAAUGAACUACACUGGUCUCCAGCUGGAUUAUAUAACAUGGGUGGGCUCCACUGGUUUUUUUUUUUUCUUUUUUUUUCUUUUCUUUUAUUAUUAUUAUUAUUUAUUAUUAUGAAAAUCCAUUAGAAGCAACCGGAGGAAUAAUUAAGUAGCAAGAAGUUGUCUGCUAACCAUGUACUCAUCAAUUAUUAUUUUUUUUUCGUCAAAGUUUAAUGCAAAAACUAUACCUCGUUUGGCCACAUGUUUGUUUUUUUUACUUUUUAAAUAAAAUUUUGUAUAUCAAAAAGUACUAGGAGUGCACUGUAGAUUGAUUGCAUCCACUUCAUCCAAAAUGUUUACUUGGCAACAAAAAUUUUUUUUUUUGAAAGUAAGUGUUUUUGCUCUCAAUUUUUGUUUUAAACAACUUAUCAUUUAUUAUUUAGCCGGAUGCAUUGUAAUCUAGUUGACAAACAAAAGUAUUCCCUGCAACCCAUCAAAUUAUAUAGAAUUAGUGUUGAAAAAAAAACCACAAACAUGAUGCCAAACAAGGCCGAUUUCUCAGUUAAAAUAUGGGAUAAAAUUUGAAGUUUGAAUCUAAAAUCAGAAUUAGAUUUUUUUCUGCUUUUGAUUUUAAGGCCUUCAAAAUCAGUUUUUUGAUUCUGAAAAAUAGAAUCAGAUUUUAAAAAUGAAGUUGUCAAAUGCUCUAUUGAGUCGAAAAUCACUUUUUAACGCAAAAGCACUUUUUAAAAGUUAGGCCAAACACCCCCUUAAUUAACAACCUGCUUUUUGAGAUGCAAGAGUGCACUUUAUCUUAUGUUAUCACAACCUUGCAUGACACAAAUUUACAAUAUUCAAUCACAUUAGAUAACUUAAGAUGAUUUGUAUACAAUCUAGUUUUCGUCAUUCGAAGUUAGGCCGCAAAAGAUUCAUGCAAGCACCAACAACACCAAAGUAGAGGCAAACACAGCUGAUUUACAAUGUAUAAUAAUAUCAGUAUAUUUUGAUCUGAUCAAGUGUGAUGUUAGAACCUUGUGUUGCUCAUGAGCAACACGCCCCGCCAUUAUUCUCCUGUUUCUGUUUCAACAUGUUCCUCGCAGCAGCCGACGGCCCCUCGUCCUGGGGAUUUGAAACCUCCAGAAUCUGUUCAGAGAACAUGAAAUCUUAACAUUUUAUGAUUGUUAAAUAUGGCGAGUUAAUUUAAACAUAAAAAAGGACGAAAGAAAGAAAAACUUGAUGGAUGGCGCGUUAACGUGGCAGCAACCAAAAUCUGUACAAGAUUAAUUACAAGAGGAAAAAAAAAAAAAAAAAACCAUCGUAGUGAUCAAUAGCAAAUCAUCUUUCAGUAAACAGGACAACAGUGAAAAAGCUAUUUUAGCACCCAAAAUAGACUCUACCGGGUCAUAAGGACCGAGUGCAUAACCAAAGGAGAGAAAUUUAGAGCAUAGUAAUGCCUCACGUUAAAACUCAUUCAAAAAACAAACACUGCGUCUUAAAAAUGAUUAUAUAACUUUUUGAAGAUUUACCUUCAAUGCAAGUUCUUCAAAACAUUUCUCCACAUUUUCCUGUGUUUUCGCGCUGCACUCAAGGAACAGACAACCAGACUGUUGCGCAAAAGCAGCUCCCUCUUCCCUUGUCACCUUUCUUUCAUUCUCCUGUUAUCAAAAUUAUGAAGCGAUAGUUGAAAUCUUAGCAUUGCAGCUCUUUUGUUUAGAAGUAUAUUGAGAGAAUAUGGUUAGUGAAAAUAACGAUAUCUCUAGUAUGAUGGUAUUAGUAUUUCCCACAUACACUUGUUUACAGGGAAUGCCUACCUACGACUAUGACACUAGGAUGUUUAGUCACGCUCCAAAUCCUGUAAGCGAGAUAACAAAGUAUCGUAGAAUGUGCAACUAAUGCCCUAAAUACCAAUUGCGUAUGUAGCAUGCAAAACCAAAGAGAAUUGAACUACUGCAUCUUAGUUCAGAUGUAGUUCUUCAAUGUACUGAAAAUGAUGAACUUGCAAUGUCGAAGAAUAACAGUAAUGAUGAUAAGGUUUUCAAACAACGAUAUUACCUUGUCAACUUUAUUCCCAACAAGCAUUUUGAUGCAAUCUUUAUUUGUGGAGUACAACUCGAUUUCCUUGGCCCAUAUUUCCGCUAAAUUUGUAAAAGUUUCUCGUCGUGUCACGUCAUAAACUAAUAGCAGAGGGUAAAGGAAAGUAGCUCAUUCAGCAUUUUAUUCACAGUAAAUAGCAUCAUCACAUUGGCAAAAUUCUGAUAAAAGAUUCUAGAGGUGUAAGAAUGAAAAAUACAAGAUUAAAAAACAUUAUUUUCUUAGUUUAGUCAUCAAAGAAUUGUAUCAAUCAGCCUUAAGAUAGUCAGUUACAUUAAUCAUUCAUGUUUUUCAUCAGGAAACAAAGGUUUUUAAAUUUGCAGGUGAAUAAACUAUAUUCAAAGCAGAUAUCAUUUCAUUAUCUUGUACAGUACUAAUGCAGUAGAAAACAGGAUGUAGACAUACGACUAAGAAACUUAUACGAGGAAUAAAGUUUACCGUCCAAGAAAUCUUAUUAACGAAAAUAUGAAUAUAUAUUAAAAGAAUCUUCAUGAUACUGACAUCGGGCGAAUCAUUUAAUUUUUUUUUUCGUAAGGCACAAGGAAAUUUGUAAUAUGAGUAUUAUAAAUGGCAAAACGGAUUCCAUGCAGCAUAAUUUGGCAAGAGUAAAUGACCGUAAGAUUUUUGCGAAGCUACAGAUGAAUCACAUAAAUAAUGAAAUAAUUGCCUUACCUAGAAUGAUUCCAUGAGCACCUCUAUAGUAAGAAGUCGUUAGUGUCCUGAACCUCUCCUGUCCGGCUGCAGACAGAAGUUCGGUUAGAUAUACACCCAUAAGAUGGGACAGAUAUAAAAAAUGAAAACAUUAGCAACAUGUCAACAAUCAUAUGUAAAAAAACCCCUGCUAACACACGGUAUUGCUUUGUUUAAAUUAUUAGACAUAAAACAAAUACUAUUGGUAGUGGCAGACUGAUAAAUAAUUAGAGAAGAGAAUACCACUAUACAUCAGAAUAAUACUUAUUCAUGUUGCUGUCGAAUACUAGUAAAUAAUUAGAAAAGAGAAUACCACUAUACACCAUAAAAGUAUUACUUAUUCAUAUUGCUGUCAUUCAAUAGCAAUCGUAUACCACAAACGAAGUACUUAAAAAAUGAAUUUUUCAGAUAUAAAACUAAGACAUGUUCAUGGUUUCUAUUCCAGUAAUAUUUGCAUAACAAUGUUUUGUAAAAUAUAGAAGGCGAUUACAAUUGAUUAUAAAAAACUAAAGAUCUCUAUACUGAGCUGCUGGUCUGUUACAAGCAUCUUACCCGAUCAGCAAAACUAUAACACACUUCUUUCCUAAAAUUGCAGCUUACUGCAUAAUUCUAACAUCUUUUCUGCUAUAUUUUUAUAACAAUGCUGUACUGUGAUUACUGUCUAAACUUGUAAAUUGCCACAAUUCCACACUAUUUUGCAAUCAUUGUUUUGGAUCCUUACACACUUGUUAUCAUUUACUCGACUAAGGCAUCAUUAUGAUCCCAUUCACCAUGACACAGUGAUUUAAAAUAAUGGCGAAAGAGAUUUGAAAAGGGUAAAUUUAGCAGGUGGGUUUGGAAUAAGCCAAAUAAAAAUAAAAAAAAGAGCAACCAAUGUAGAGGCAGAGCUGCAGAGGCAUUCUGAAUGGCAUCUUCAGUUUGAUUUGAUGGUGCAUUGUUGCUAUUUCAUUUUUUUAUGUUCUUUCUCCUCAUCUUUAAAUUCUCUUUCUUUCUUUCAACCCUAUAUGUUAAACCACUAAUAGUUCGUCUUCCUAUAUGUUAAACCACUAAUUAAAUUAUGCAUUGCAUGGUUACAUGCAUUAUCUGGACAUAUAGAUCAACAUGCAUAUAUGGGCCAAUGCAGUGAUUACUUUCCCCAUACAUGCAUCAACAUGCAUCUUAUAAACAAAACAAAAUAAAUCAAUAUUGUAAAGGAAACUUUCUGUGACAUAAUGAAAAUUAAUUACUGAAGAGAAAUUACCAUGAUACAAAAAAUGAAAGUUUUAAUAAAUUCUUUACAGUGACAUGAGUAUGAGUUUGCCAAACAACAAGUGUAAAUCGCAUAACUUGGACACCUAUAUCUAUAAUAUUAUGCAUAGUAGAAAACUCACCAGUAUCCCAUAUUGUGAGCUUAAGCUUCUUUCCAACUGUAAGAACCUUGAUUUUAAAAUCCACUCCUGCCAACAAAUUUAAGCAAAAAUUACUACAACAAGAAUGUGAGAAAAAAAAAAGUGUUAAAAAAGAAUGAGACAUGCCGGCUACCAAAUACCAAAGUUUGAACUAGCAAGUAGGAGAUCUUGCAGGAGACAGCUGGAGGCAAACUAUCCGCAAGUUAUAAAAAGCAUCAUUCCCUAACAACUUAAAACUUUUCGAGACAAACAGUCCAUAAAGAGAGACAAACUGUUAUUUCACACAUAUUGCCUAAUCCCUUAAAUGCACUAAAAAGAUUGAUCUUGGAGGAAACGGUCGGAGAUAAUCAUAAUAACUCCAUUGACAUUCACAGUGAAGACUAGGUGAACCAUGUAAAGUGCACUGAUAGAAAAGGUAAGAAAACAGAAAAGCAGGCAAGAAUCUUUACCAUCAAAUGGAGAAUGUGGGGAUAGAACAUAGGACCACUUGGAACUGAGGAGGCUUACGACCAACUAUGAUACCAUAUUUUUAAAUAUAAAAUACAAAUACUCUAUUUUCUAGCAACUUAAACUCUUAUUAUGUAAUAACGAUCGUCUUAUAUUAUUUUACAUGGUGUCAGAGUAGGAGUUGCUUAGUUUAAAUCCCAUCAGACUCCUAUAAAAAAUUCUCGAGCCUUGAAGGGGAGAGUUGAAUGUAAAAUAUGAAAAGUACUGUUUUUUGACAACUUAAACUUUUGGAGAUAAAAAAUCCACAAAGGAAGACAAGUGGUUGUUUCAUACAUAUUACCUAGUCCCUUAAAUGCAUGCAAAUAUGUUAAAAUCAAAGCCCUUCACAUCAUGCAUGCUUGCUGACGCAUUAACUGUUAGAAUUUCCGAUAGCAAGGCCCAACUAAUCAUAUUCAAAUCAAGAUUUCCUAUCAGAUAAAUGUUAAUCGCGACAAAAAUAGAACUACUUGAUAUGACCUGUUUUACCCCUUUUCCAUCUAUUUAAAUUAAAUAGAAUCUUAAUUAAACUUUAAUAGGAGUCGACUGGACUCUAUAUACAAGGAUACUGAUCUUUCCACUUUCUCAGUGUGCACUCUAGUGAAGAAUAAUCAUCAUAUCCACACCAUAGGGUGGUUGCUAAUGUUCAAGUCACAAUCGAGCUUCUCGCUUCCACAUAUUGAUCAAAAUAUUCUUUUCUUUGACGCUUUGUAAGCUUUUUUAUUUUGUUUACAAUCUUCGACAUCGGUAUGUAUUAGUUUUUAUUAUUUUUACAUGUCAUAUAGAUCUCACAUCAACAACCUAUAAAACUAGCAUUCUAAAGAACCCAUAGCAAUUGUAACGCCCUAAUAUUCUCACAUUAGAUAGGAAAAGAAUUAUAAUUAGAAACGUAAGGAUCGAAGGCUAGUAAUAAUAACCCGGCUUAUACAUUUUGGACCAGUGGUUUGGACCCAACGAGUUAUUAGUGCUAGUGGGCUAAAUCAUUACAUUUGGUAUCAGAGCUGGUUUGCCAGUUAGUAGUAUAAGAUAGGUCUCACAUCACUUAGUGAUUUUUGGGCAAGAAAUGAGACAAGACGAGAAUGUAAGAGUUUAAUCACAUUGGAUAGGAAAAGAUUAUGAGCAGGAACAGAAGGAGCGAAGGCUUUUCAUAAUAUAAUAACUGGACUUAAGCAUUUGGGUUCAAUGGUUUUAGCCCACGAGUUAUUAGUGCUAGUAGGUUGGAUCGUUAUAGCAAUCUAUACAUCUAUACAAAUACAUAAAUUGAGAGUUUUCAAUACCACGUGGCAGCUCCUUUACUCUAACCCUCUCCCCCCAGGCAUCGUCGAUUAUUACCUAUAUUCUACUUCCUCUCUCUCUCUUUUGCCUCAAUUAUUACCUAUAUUCUACCUUCUGUGUGUGUGUGUGUGUGUUGUGUGUGUGUGUGUGUUCAAGUAGUAUCUAUACUCUACCUAGUGGCGGAUCCACUAUAGUCUCCAUUGUAUGUACCCACAAGAAAGGUCUUUACGGUCUUUCUUCACAUUUUGAUCCUAUUUUGGGGUCAAAGUUAAAUAAGAACAAACAGUAUGGAGCAGGGCUAACCUCUUUCUUAUCUCGUUGGCCUACUACAAUGUGGGCCAACCAGAAUGCCUAGUAUUUUUUGUAAAUAUUUAAUUAAUAGAAUAAAUAAUUUAAAAAAUAUUUUUUGUUUAUGUAAUAUCAAUGACUAGUUUUUUUAGGCUAAAUUAUAAAAAGCCCUCUUGCACUUUAGCCCUAGUCUCAAUUACUCCCUUACAUUAAAAAUUGCAUUAAUUACUACACUGUAUUUUAUCAUCAUCUUAAAUAGAUCCAAAAUUUAAAAAAUGGGCAAAUUAGGCUCUAAAACUUCACUAAAAUAAAUUGGUAUAUCACUUUGUUCCACAUCUCAACAUAUACCUCUAUUUACAACUCAAAAUAAAUAUAAAAAAUUUACAUAAAAUUAAGGAGAUAUUUUAUUUUGCUAUACUAUCAAAAUUGAUAGUUUAUUGAGCAAUUUAUUAAUUUUUAUAAUUCUAUUGCAUUACUUAUAGAUAUAUAGUUUUUAUCUGCAAACUUAUUUUUACAAAGUUUUGUAGUAGAAUGCAAUAAUUAUUCCAAAUAGUUGGAUCUAAUUGAGAUAAUGACAAAGUAUAAGGCGGUAAUUGAUGUAAUUUUUUAUGCAGAGAGGACAAUUGAGACAAGCACUGAAGUACGAGAAGGCUUUUUAUAAUUUAGCCGUUUUAUGUUUAUUCUUCAUUAUAUAUAUUGACCCCACUGUUAAAACCACCACGGACUCUACCCUCUUCUCUCUCCUACACAUAUAUCUUAUAAGAUUCUUUCAUAUCUUAACACGGCUUUGUUUGCAUUUGGCUCCCUCAAAAAAAUUAUUCUCACAAAUAAUCUCACCAAAUUUAUAAUUAUAAUUUUGACCCUAUCCCCACCAAGCAGGUGCCACGUAAGCACCACGUGAGUAAAAUAAUAAGUUGAACACGGUAAUCCAUUCACUGUGUCUAAGCACGGUAAAUGAUUCACCAUGUCUAGAGAAAAGAAAAAGGAAAGGAAGGAGAGUGAAAAUAUAUAUAUAUAUAUAUAUAUUGUGAAAAAAUAUAAAAAAGAAUGUAAGUAUAGGAAACGGUGAACACGGUGAAUGGUUUACCAUGUUCAACUUAACAGCCCAGCCCGCUCGCAUGGCGCUGAUGUGGCGCCUACUUGAUAGGAAUAGGACUAAAAUUGUAAUUAUAAAUUUGAUAAGGUUAUUUCCGAAAAAAAAUUUUGAGGGGCCAAAUACAAAAAAAAAGCCCUAUCUUACAAGAUCCUCAUAUCUCUCUCUCUCUCUCUCUCUUUCUCUCUCUCUCUACAAGCAAAAUCCUUCUCUUUCUCUUUUGCACUCUCUUUUUCGAGCUCAACCCGGCCCCGGCCUCUCUCUCUCUCUCUCUCUCUCUCUCUCUCUCUCUCCUCACACACACACACACCAAAUCUCUUCGAAAUCUCCAUCAUUAUUCCUACUCUCCCUAAUCUCUAGUAACUCUCCUCCUCUUCUUUUUGCCUCUCUCUCUCUCUCUCUCUCUAUCUUUCUCUCUCACACUAGCUUUCUCUCUCCCUCUCAUAACCCAAGCCUAAAUCUCGAGAGGUUCGANGGGGGGCGGGGGCGGGUGCUAUCGCUGUUUUAGCUACGAGUUUGCUUGCAGCGGUUGUUCUGUGAUUUUUCUGUACUACUGUUUUAUUUUUUGUAUUAUUUCUUUUCCAAUCUAAGAUUUUUAUUAAUUAUACAGCCUAAUUGGCUGAAAUAAUAAUAUUUUUAUCGAUUUUGGAUCGGAUUUGGCGGCAUGCAUGGCCAAGCGGUGACUGCAAAUCCUUUAUUCCCAGUUCAAAUUUGGCUGUCGCCUAAUCAACAAAGUACGUACUAGUCUACUAUUUAGAUUAGUUGUGCAUUUAAUAUAUCAUAUACACAUAUAUUGUAAUUAAUUGAUCUAUAUAAACCCUCCAUUUAGAUAAAAUCUAUAUUUACUUCCUUUCAAGAUCUGAAGAAGUUACCAUAAAACUUCGUAAAUGAUCUAUUAAUGGCUCAAUCAGUGACUUCUUGGGAUGGAAAAUCAAAAAAAAAAAAAAAAAUCCUUGGUUUUGUUUUCUUUUGCUACAGUAUAUCUCAUAUUUUGAUAUAUUUUAAUCGGUUGAAAUAGUAGCCGCUGUAAAGCCCACUAGUACUCUAAUAACAUAGCAAGAGCACGUAACUAUCCAACUAGCUAGCAGUAAUAUCAUCGGAUCCAAACUACCGGCGCCUAAAAUACUUAAGUCCAAUUAUUAUUAUUAGAAUAUUAUUAAAAUGCGUAAUUUCUUAUAUUUUGAAUCAAGACCUCUUUUUCAUCUAAUGUGAGAUUAUUGAGACCUUAUAAUGCAAUCGCCUUCAAAAGACAAAAUUGAUCCAAACAAAGUAAGAAUCUCAUCAAAAUAGCCAAUAAUACACGCGAGAAGGGAUCUAUCUACAAGUAAUCAUCGUUUACCGAUGGUGGGGGCGGGCUCCUCGACAUGAUUUGAGAUGAAGCUGUUGAGGAUGCUACUCUUCCCCACUCCCGAGUCCCCGAUCAACAGUAUCUUGAACGAGUAGUCGUAUCCAUUACCCGAGCUAGAAGAAGAAGACGACGACGAAGCCAUCGCAAUGGCGACAAUGGUUUAGAGAGAGAGAGAGAGAGAGAGAGAGAGAGAGAGAGAGAGGGGAAUGAGAGAUAUAGAGCGAGAGAGAGAAGGGAAAGGGGAGAAAAAGGAGAGGAGGGUUUGGGGAAUCUGCUUCGGCUUUUGCUGCGAUCGCAGGUAGCGUCAGAGUCACGAAUGCUUUCCUUCUCUUUUCUUUUCUUUUCUAUUCGAGCGGGCAAGUAGGCAACGGUAUUCGUUUCCCUGCCCUACGGACUUGAUGGUAACUUGCACCUUAGCCCCCGACCUUUUAGAAUCUUUCAUUUUAGUCCUUUAAACCUUUUUCAAGAGUUUAACAUUUAAAAGUACAACAAGUGUUAAAUUAUAUAAAAUAACUAUUUUUCUCCGGAAGCUUUAGCCAGCACUCCCUCUUAUUUCUAAACCGGACAUGUUUUGGUAGACUUUAUAAUGUUGCACUGCAGCGGAGCGAGAAAUUUUAAAUUUUCUACUCUUAUAUCAUAUAAAAAUUAUAUAAAAUAAUUAUUAUUCUCUAAAAAAUUAAGCAAUAAGAAAAUGAUAUUUUUAAUAUUUAUAUUUAACAAAGCACGGUAAAGACAAAAUCUUCUAAUUCAUGGUAAUACAUUACUAUUAGUCGGUUAACAAUGACGAUUCUACAACUUCACAACUUAAAAGAGUUGCAUAGGGACUUUUUUCGAAAAUAACCCUCUGAAAUUUUGUAAUUGGCAAAAUAACUCUCUGAAAAUUUUAUUUGUAAAACUAACCCUCCUUUCGCCACAUCGGUGCCAGGUGGGAUUUUUCUCGUAAAGACGGUGAAUCGUUCACCGCCUAUGCGCAUUUCUCAUGAAGACGGUAGAUGGUUCACCGCCUUCAUGAGACGGUGAACUAUUCACCGUCUUAGGGUGAAUACAUCUCCGUCUUUAGAGCGAAUACAACACCUUUGGAACUGCUGUGCCCUCGAUAAGACGGUAAACAGUUCACCGUCUUACUUAAGACGCCCCUCAACUUCGGCCCGAACUUUGGCCAAGUCGUGGAGACAUAAAACACAGAUAAGACGGUGAAUUGUUUACCGUCUUAUUUGUGCUGCACUAAAGACGGUGAACUAUUCACCGUCUUUAUUGGCAACGGAGUGGACCAAGGUAAGACGGUGAAUCGAUCACCGUCUCCAAUGUUGUUUAAUGAAGACGGUGAACAAUUCACCGUCUUACCUAGGUAUACCCGAAGCCCCGACACCUCUCCCUCACUCUUCGCUCUCUUUCUCUCUUAACUCUCUGUCUCUCUCUCCCUCCGCACCCCGCCAGUCGCCGCCGCCCAAGCCGACGUCGCCGCCGGUCGCUGUCGACCCACCGAGCCUUCCCCCGUGCCACAGCAACCCACAUUGCAAAUAAUAUUCUAUCUUAGUAAUUUUCUAGGUUUAAACCUAGUUUAACCUAGUUUAAUCUAGUUUAACAAGUAUAAACCCUAAACCCUAAAAUUCCUAAACUAGUUUAGCUACUAUAAACCCUAAACCCUAAACUAGUUUAACUAGUAUAAACCCUAAACCCUAANGUUUUUUUUGAUAUUUUUAUCUUGUUGAUUGUAUCUUGUUAUUCCACUCGUGAUCUUGUGUUUCUUGUUGAAAAAUUUGUUAUCGUGAAAAAACUUGCGUCAAACUUGUUGAAAUUUUCUUUAAAAUCAAGCUUAAAACAGCAGGUGCUGCUGUUUGCACUAAAGACGGUGAACCAUUCACCGUCUUUAGUGCAAAUACAACAAAACCGGAGGAAAAAACGGCUAAGUCCUAGCAUUGGUUUACGCCUAGAUAAGAUGGUAGACGAUUCACCAUCUUUGUUAAGGCGGUGAACGGGUCACCGUCUUAUCUGUGUUUUAGCCCCUCUCUCGAGGACUUGGCGAAAUUAGGCUGGGUGGAGUUUUACACUGAAGACGGUAUCUCUCGAGGACUUGGCGAAAUUAGGCUGGGUGGAGUUCUACACUGAAGACGGUAAACUUGCUCAGAUAAGGCGGUAAACCAUUGACCGUCUUAAGUAAGACGGUGAACAAUUCACCGUCUUAUCUAUGCCCCCCCGCUGUCGGGCGGAUUUGCUGCCAAGAUAAGGCGAUAAACGACUUACCGUCUUUCCUAAAGAGGUAAACGAGUCACCGUCUUCUCUGAAUUGCUGAGAAGGCGGUGAUACGCGGGGAAUUGCUGAGAAGUCACCGUCUGGUUCCACGCCUAGAGAAGACGGUGAACUACUUACCGUCUUCAAGAUUAAAUAAAGACGGUGAACAAGUCACCGUCUUAUUCCAGCAGAGCUGGGCGCCGGGGCCCUGAGAAGGCGGCGAAGUCUACGGCUAGCUAAGGCAGCGGACGAUUCACCGUCUUUGUUUAGACGGUAAACGAGUCACCGUCUUCUCGUCGAAUUACUACAAAGGCGCUGAUACGCGGGGAAUUGCUGAGAAGGUGGUGAAGGGUCCACGCCUAGAGAAGACGGUUAACCAUCUACCGUCUUCAUGAGAAAUUCGCAUAGACGGUGAACGAUUCACCGUCUUUACGAGAAAAAUCCCGCCUGACGCCGACGUGGCGAAAAGAGGGUUAAUUUUACAAAUAAAAUUUUCAGAGGGUUAUUUUGCCAAUUACAAAAUUUCAGAGGGUUAUUUUCGAAAAAAGUCCGUUGCAUAGCGACAAUGUGAAUAUUUUGAAUAGAAAAUACAGGGAAUUUUCGAAAUAUUACACGCUGUAAAAAGAAUGUUCAGUUAAGAGUCUAGCCCCUGAAAAAGCCAAAUAGAUUAAAAGGGAAAAUCUAAAAAACUUAAAUUAAAGGUUGUGAUGUAAAUGCAGGCUACAAAUCAAGAAAAGUAUAACUUUAACAGGAAAAAAAAGAAAAAGGAAAGGAAAACUUAAAAUGCAAUUAGAACACUUGCACUUGAAAAACUUCGGAUACCAACUAAGGAAAGCUACAUUUAUUCAACAUGCCAAAACCCUAAUAGCGAUGAAUGAGGUCUUUAUAUGCCUCUGGAUUCUUUCCAUAGUAAUCAAUCUCAGCCUGCGAAAAAUAGAAAAUAAAAUAAAAGGUUAGAUGUUCAAAUUACCUCAAGCAAAUUCAUUGCAGGAUACGCGAAAGUAAAGAAUAUGAAGCGUCGAUCACGUAAAUUUUUAGCAGCAGUGAAGCUGCUGCACACUUUAAGAAGGUCAAGUUCAUAAUACAAUCUUUUGAUUCACUGUUAUAAUAAUGAAUCUUUCAUCCAAAUAUAAUCCAAACAAUCCAAGUGCCGCAAGCUAGUGCAUUAAACAGAUACGGUUGUUCAAUUACAGAUGCAAGGGUUAAUGACAUUGAAAUGCGAAACAAGGUAUGUAAAAAAAGUAGAUUAAUCUGAGAAUGAUCUUCUCCUAAUGCAGACCAAAUUAGUUAUACAUAACUUUAAAGCAGUAGGUGAAUAAUUAUGGAGAUCUGUGGCUAAAUUCAGAAGUUAAAAGACUUUUUGCUGAAGCCACAAUUUUUCUGAUUUUCUUGCUCUUUUAUGUCUGUCAAAGUAUUUUUCAUUUUAAGUUCGACACAGCAUCUAAUAAAUGAAUGUACCGUAAAAAGGAUAUUACUGUCCAAAAAUGAGGUUAGAAAGUCACAAAGGCCACUUUACUCUAUAAAUUAUGUUCUAUCUUCUCCUAGAAGUCAGUUUGGAGUUAUGUUUGAUGAUGCGGUGGAUGAAGAUGCGCACAAGUAAAAUCUCAUUCGUCACAACCCAAUAGUCUCAUAUCAAAGCGUGGGGAAAGUGGAUGGCUAUACAAAGGACAACCAGAGUAGCAAGUUGGUAUUGGUUACUUGACAAGCCUUAAUCGUAUUGGCUUGUAAUACUUAGUCCAGGUUACUGAUACUAUAUUCUAAUACUCAUCGAAACAAGCUUAGCUAAUGCAUAUAGUAUAAAAAAAAAAAGGGAUAGUAUGCAAAAAUGUCUAGAGAGAGACUUUUCAAUGCUGUAGAAUGUCUUGAAUAAGAGCACUCGUAUGUUUGUAACUAACUUAAGGAUCCAAGACUUUACCUUGCGAAUGCCUAUUACACUAGUCACAAGUUUUUUGCCGAUUAAUUCGUUCAAAAUCUCAUCUCCAGCAAGUGCUUCUACAGAUUCCCGUAGUUCUUUUGGCAGCCGUCUAAGUUUUGAACCGUGGUCUGAAGGAUUUGUUUCUGUUUCAAAAGUUCAGCAAAUAAAUGUGAAUCAAAAAGAUAAACUCUCGAUUAUCCUCCAAACAGGCAGCAAAAGACCAUAACUUGCAGUAGAAAUCCGCGCAACCAUGAAGCCAUCAUACAAGCAUAUAUAAAAACCUAGACUGAAAGGUAUAAUAAUCCUGAAUUGAUGGUGGAUAAAUUUGUAGCCUUUUUUUUUUUAUAGUUUGGGAGAUAUGUCUAGAUCACUUCUUCUGUCGUUGACAUUGAAGAAUAAACAAAUUAUAAUGCAGUUAAGAAAGUGAGAAGAUUGUUGAGUUUACCUCGAGGAUUCAACAGUCUUUCUUACUUAUGAAGAAAACAAGAAAAGGCUACAAAUUUAUCCACCAUCAAUUCAGGAUUAUUAUACCUUUCAGUCUAGGUUUUUAUAUAUGCUUGUAUGAUGGCUUCAUGGUUGCGCNAAUAAACAAAUUAUAAUGCAGUUAAGAAAGUGAGAAGAUUGUUGAGUUUACCUCGAGGAUUCAACAGUCUUUCUUACUUAUGAAGAAAACAAGAAAAGAUAUGAAGUACCAGAAUUAAACAUUACUUAAUAGAUGUACCCCUUCAACCAAUAAUACUAUCAAGAAAUAAACACCAAAUAGCAGAAAUGUUCAGAAUAUUUACAUUGUCUGUUUGGCAGCAUGUCCAAUAAAACAAAAAAGUUCACCAUAUAUCUUAACUAUUUUACGAAAAUGAACCUUACUCUAAAUCUCGAUACCUGACUAUUCUAAAACCUUACUAGUAUUCAGUCACUCUAUUAUUUAUCUCCAGCAGUUCAUUUCCUUUUCUAAUCUUUUAUUCCUAAGGAAAAAUUCACCCAAGAAAUCAACUGGCACAAAAUUGGCAGUCCAAUACGGUCACAUAGGCCAUUUAUUGUGUGUUGAACUAAAUUUAUAUGUCCUGUCAGAAUUUAAUUUCACUCCCAAAAAGUUUUCUACCAUUGCAGUAGUUCAAGAAAUUAUCUAGACAAAAUUAAUCCUACCUUUGUCAAAUGUAACUACACAAGCUCUUAAAUGGGGUUUUUAGUGCAAUAGUCCUCUUCUAAAAUUUUAUUUUAAAAAUAAACCUGUUAAAUUUUUAUUUGUAGAUAUAGUCCUAUAAAAGCGGUGAAUGGUUUACCGCUUUUAAAAGCAGUGAACCAUUCACCGUUUUCUUUCUUUUUCUCACCUCUUUUUAUAAUUCUACGAUGGUAAAAACGGUGAAUGGUUCAACGCUUUUACUGUUUUUCUACUUCUAAACAGAACUUAUGAAUGCGGUGAAUCAUUCACCGCAUUUAAAAGUCUAUUUUUAUAAUUAUUUUUUUAAGAAAACUAUUUUUAUAAUUAUAAAAAUUGAUAAGAUUAGUUAUAAAAAAAAUUCCUCUUAAAUAGCUGUCAAAACUGCUAUCGAUGUUUGACUACUUUAAAGACUAUGAAUUUAGAAUUCUUGGCUUUAAGUUGACUAGCAAUUUGAACAUCAAUUUGAGCAAUCACUCUGCCGCUUACUUUGCUUAAUUGCUUAGAUAUUCAUAGCUAGCAUUUGCACUAUAUUGCAUAUUGCUUUUAUGCCAUAUACAUAGGCCAAUUGGAGAAAAUGAAAACAGACAAAACCUAAGUACCGUAUAGUCUAUAUUAAGCAUUGAGGUCCAGAGAUAGCUAUACCAAUUGGUUCAGGCAAGCUUAGGCCUCUCCUGAGGCCAUCAAUCCCCGCAGCAACUAUUGAAGUGAGUCCCAAGUGUGGGUUUGCGCAACCAUCGAAGGAUUUAAUCUCAAAGUUGCUGACAAGAUCAAGAGGUACACCAGGUGGGCAUGCAGUCCUCAAUGGAGCUUCCCUGUUCUCUUUUCCCCAACAGUGAUAAGCUCCACUCCAUGUAUCCGGCUGAAUUCGAUCAUAACUACACCGACAAAUAAAUAGAACACAUUAAAAAUGAUAAUAAAAGAGAUAGGUCAGUAGAUGAGUACAUGCUUGAGAAACCAAGAAUGAAAUGAUAAGAUCCAAGUAAAAUGCUUCAUGAUAUUGCCAAUAGACGAGUAAAGAGAGACGUCAAUCCGUCAAUUCACAAAUAUUAGGGAUGGACGCCGGAUCACAGUUGAAAUGAGCUUAUAUAUGAGGUUAGCUACCUGUUUGGAAGUGGAGCAGUGAAUGAUAAGAGUGAUGGGAGAUGAUGGAAAACUCCUGCCAAGAACUGUUGUCCAAUUUUUGACAUUCCAUAUCGAGUCUCAGAAUCAUUAGAUCCCAUAAAAACAUUUUGUCCAUUCUCCCACAAACUCAGGUGCACAUGAGAUCCUGAGCCAACAUCAUUUAAGAAACACCUAUAGUAGUACACAAAAUGAAGAAGCAAGCAUUGCAUUAGGUAGUACCCUUUUGGGAGCUGCUAUUGCAUGUUUUAGGUUCAUAGCUCCUAAAUAUAAAAUUCUGUAGAAUGUGCAUGUAGCAUUUAUAAAUAACAUGUGGGACAUGCAGCAAUGGUAGAUACAAAUUACACUGCACAUAAACUGUUUAUUAUGUCAUUUUCAGCAAAGUGUGAUAGAAAUUAUACUCAACAAUAGAAAGGUGGAAGCAGCAUCAUUUCAACUCCUCGUUUACUAAUGUCUUCUUGCAAGAGAGAAAAAGCAUGGGGAAUAUGCACCUUCAAACUUCUUAUUUUGUUGGGUUAUAUUUAUGUGAAUUAAGUUUGGAUGUAGAUGUGAAUAACAUAAAAACCAAGGUUGAAUGAUUUGAAUCACGCUGAUUCAUCAAGAUAUGUGUGUUAGACCUAGGGCUAACAUAAUGUUCUGAAAGAAAUUGUACAUCUCAGUUGUUUUGGACUCGGUGAUGGACCCUGUAAAAUAUAAAAAUACCGUUCUCUACAAGUUCAAGCUAUUAUUAGAGAUAAACGGUGGUUUCAUUUAAUUUAACAUGGCAUCAGAGCAUGAGGUCCGAAGUUUGAAUCACGUCAGGCUUCUUGCAUAAUUGAUUUUCUUCCAUUUAAUUCAAGUCCACAUCACGGGUCUACCAAAAAAUCUUGAGCCUAGACAUGAGGGGUAGUGUUAAAUAUAAGAACAUCAUUCUCUACGAGGUUGAGCUUUAGAGAUAAACAGUUGUUGUAUUUCAUUUAAUAGACUGAUAUGUUGAUAUAUUUACCACUAGAGUCAAUUGACCCCCAAUGUCCCCAAAAAGAAAAACACUCCCCACAUCUAAUGGGCUCUCUUAUGGUUAACCCCACUUAACUAAUUGACCCCACUUUGUUUUAAAAAAUGAGUAAAGCUCACCCCCUUACUCCCAUGUGGCACCAACUAUGUGAUUCCCAAAUCCCAAUAUUAUAAACUUGGAUUCCAAGCUUAAACAAACACCUAUUAAAAUAUAAAGAAAAUAUUUUACAAUUGUUCAUAUUUGCUCUUCAUUUUAUAUUUGGAGUCCGGCUACUAUACUAUUAUGAGUACGAUCGCUCUCGUACUCAUAAGUUGUUUUCAAUGAUAGAGUUUCCGAAUCAAUAAUCCACACCGUUAAAUGUUAUCUAGAGCAUUUAAAACGUUUAGAAAUCAAAUUUUAUAAUUUUUCAACAUCAUUUACCUUACGAUCAAGAGGUCACAAAAUUGACAAUUUUUAACGGCCGGUAUGAGAUACUUGCUAGUUUAACGGUGUAAAAGAAUCCGAAUAGGUAGAAUUUUUGAUAGAAAAUUCUAUUCACUACCUAGAUAAAGAUCAAUAACUCCGAUCUUAAAUUGAAGGAUCCGAUCAUCCAUUUUUAAGACAUCGUUCGAUUUUGACCGUUCAUUUUAUACCCGCUUGAUGAACUUUAUUAUGAUUUCGAAAACUUAUGAAAUUAAUUUUCUAGAAGUUUCAAAUACUCUAGAUCAUAUUUAAUGGAGUAGAUCGUCGAUUCGGAAGCUCCAUCAUCGAAAUCAACUUAUGAGUACGAAGGGCCCAAUACUCAUAAUAGUAUAGUAGCCCUACUCUUAUAUUUGACCCCUCUGAAAAUUUUUCUAGAUCUACCACUGGGUGACACCAUGCAGGCAAUUAGGAAUUCGUUCCCUAUAUCAUUCCGUUAACACUCAUUUCCCUAGCUAUAUCAUUUCAUCAAACAAUGAUCACUACCAAAACUAAAAACCAAUAUAAUAAUGUUGGACCAGUCUUUUUUUUGGUCUUAGGACUUCCAAAUUAAAAAAAAAAAAACAGCUGAUAUCACAAUAAUUGGAUAAAUCUUCAAGAAAUAAAUAACCUACGCAAUUCAUAGAAGGGACUUACUUUGGAACAAAUGUUGCUAAUAACCCAUGUUUUCUCGCAACAGAUUUUAUAACUUCACGAGCGUAGAUCAAUUUAUCAGCCGCAAGAAUGCAUGAUGCAUGCUUUAAUGCAAUUUCAAAUUGUCCUUUCCCGGCUUCCGCAUGCAGCUGUGGCAUGAUAAAGAUGGUUAGAUAUGAUAUAUGCACAGUACACAAAUAUUCGCAUGCAAGAAGCUUAGUUAAGGUCAGCUUUGCUCUCAAAACAAGAAUAAUUUGUAUAAAAAUUUAAAAUUUAGCAAUCAAAUUAUGUCAUUACCUGCAGAAUUUCAUUAUACUUUUUUUUUCCUUCGAGAAUCAGGAGAUUGGCCCCCUGAAAUCAAACCCCAAGUUCCCCUACAUAGGGAAUCAAAUCCAAAAACCCACCCUUCCGCAUCCAUGCCUUAUCACUGGGAAACUUUUUGGUUUGGCGUUUGGUAUUUUAUAGAUGAUUUUGAAUUUGUUGUUUUCCCUCUCUCGAAAUCCGUUAAAGAAAAUAAAAGAUUAUGUGCUAAAGCCACAGGAUCUAUGCAGUGUAAUGUUGUGAAUCUGAUAGAGAAUAUUGUGAAACCAAAAACAAUCAAAAGCGAAACAUAAUACAUCAUGUAUUGUAUAUAUCUUCAUGAUUUAUCACUAGAUUGAUCAGAUUUAUAGUGUACAAUUUUAUGAAAAUCACCCAGAAAGCUAUUUCAAAAAUUCCAUUAAUCAGUGGAUGCAAUUGAUCAAACAGAAGUUGCCAGAUCUCUCAAUGCCCUGCAUGUGCUAGGAACUAAUGAAGAGGAAAAUACAAAAAACAAAAAUAAAAGACAAUAAUAACUUAGCUAUUAGUUGCAGAUCACAGUAAAUCAAUAAUAGAUACAUAUGUAAAGCAAAUAAACAUAAUACAACUAUUACCUGGUCAACUGAAAUAUCCAAGGAUUGAAGAGCAGCAUUUAUUUCUCGUAAAAUUGGAGAUGCCCCGUCAAAUGCUGAUGUGGAACAGUAAGGGGUCAAAUCAAAUGGUACCCACUUUUCAUGCCCUUCACUGCGUAUAUUUUUUGAAAAGAUUAUGGGGGUGAAAUGACAUAUUCAAAAAACACAAGGAGACUGAUAGAAGAGCACAGGUGAAGAUACCUUACUACUUUCCUAAGGAUAUAAAAUUCAUUUUCAAAGCCUGCAUUGAUCGACUGCAAGAAAAGACACACAAAAGAUUAAUACAUCUGGAGGAUAAAAUCAACAUAUGAAUUACUUAUAUUCAUGCAUACCAGAUUAAAUUCAUCAUAUAGAAUCUUUGUAACUUUUCUCAAGGUACUUCUAGGGCAGUACUCCCAUGCUUCACCAGGCUUUAUGUGCAUGUCGGUCAAUACCAUUUCCUCUUCUUUUGACCUGACGGAGAUGAUAAUCAAUUACUACAACAUACCAAUGCAUAUCCAACUGAUAGGUUCACAUUGAGAUUAUAUUAUUUCAUGGUUGAUACACACAAAAAAUGGUAAAUUCACUGUCUGAGCUCAAAAAACUGUUUUAACUUUGUGUCUUCAUACAAACCAGAAAAGCAUCAGUAAAGAGAAGUACAUGACUAUUCUUUUUAUACAGUUGCUAUGUCAAAUCAUGUUGUUCACUCAUAUAAAACAUAGAAUCAUGGGGAUUCACGGGCAAGAAUCGAUCCUCCACAACAUAGUGGGCAAUAAAACACAGGAUAUAUUACCCACUAUGUCAUACCACUGAGACUCUGGAUGUUUCAAUAUAUGCAGCACCACAAUACACUUAAUGAGGAUUGAGGGUGUACCAUGACCAAGGAAGAUGUUAGGUGGAUUUGGGGCUGUCUACUUUUGGAACUCACUGAGAGUUUGAAGGGAUAUUAAAAGAACUUCAAGAAUGCCAAAAAAACAAUAAAAAAACUUUAUUACAUAUAAAUUGCAUGAGAUUUUGAUUUGAAUCAUAUAUUCAACUCAGCCUUAGUCCCACUCUAGCAGCGAUUUCUAAAUGCCUCAAAAAAUUAAGUGGGAUUCACCAAAGAAUCAUGUAUUGCCGUUUUAUCCUAUCUUGAGCUAUCUUUCUCCACAGGGUGAAAUCUUUUCUUGUCAACUCUAACAUCUACUUGCAGCAUCCCUAUAUUCCUUUUUUCCAAAUCACUUACAGGAAAUUUUUACUUUUGCCGAUAGUCGCACUCAUAUCUCCCCAUUAUAUCGGUCAUAAGCUGUAAGAGAGAACAUCUUCAAUUUCCUAGCAUUCGAAAAUAUUUUAGAUCUCACUGAUUUAGGAUUUCAUCAUGCGUUUCACUGAAUAAACAUUAUGAAAGUAUAGGUUAGGUUAACCAAUUUAUUAUUCCAUGUAGCAGGACAUGCAAAUAGAAAGGGACAAAACAAAGAACAAGAAUAUCAUAAAACAUUAUUUAAUCACUGAACAGCAUUGAUUAUGCACAAAUGUCAAUAAGUCAUAGAAAAAGAUCUGCACGGAAAAGAAACAAAGAGGAACUAAUUCCUGAACUAGAAUGUAGGAAAAAGAAGAAAAAUUACCAUGGGAUCCUGCAAAGCGUUGAUAAAUCCGGCAUAAGUCUGAUCUCACCCACAGCUGUAAGGUUGGUUCCAUCUGCUGGACCAUCACAAAAUGAGCUCAUUGCCAUUGAACAUUGAGUUAAACCAACACCAGUAUUCUUCACAACCUCAUAGAAUCGUUUUGAUGGAACAACCUGAGAGCUAACGGAUUAGUACAAGUAUAAAUUAUUUGUUCUGAUUCUCAAGUUGUAACCACAUAGUGAGAACAAUUGUGAUUGGAUAAUGACAAUCAUAAACUUCAUGUUGUGAUGGUCCGGUUUCUGGGUAAAGAAUAAACAAAUCAAUAGAGUAAAGAAUAGAAGUUUAUGCAUGUCAUCAUAUUGGAAUCAUAAACUUUUUGCUUCUCUAAAUUAUCAAAAGGAAUUAAAUCAACACCUAUAUUCUUCAUAACUUCUAGUAAUACUUAUACUAGAAUUUUUUACAAAAAUUACUAAUUACUAAAUUGUGAAACAACCGUUGUACUCUAAAAGCUUAAACCGUUAGAGAACGGUGAAUUUUUUAAUUUAACACUCCCCCUCACGUCUGGGCUCGAGACUUUUUGCAAAGCCCAUGACAUGAACUUGAAUUAAAUAGAAGGAAAUUAAUAAUGCUAGAAGCCUGGCAUGACUUGAACUUAGGGUCUUCUGCUCUGAUACCAUGUGAAACAACUGUUGUACUCUAAAAGUUUAAGCUGUUAGAGAAUGGUGAAUUUUUAUAUUUAACAUAAAAGAAUAGUGAAUGGAACUACUACAAAGAAUACAACUCAUUGUAAAGGAGCAAUAGAAUAUACUCACACGACAUCGGUGUUGGCCUGAAGCAUCAACCCAGAUAACUCGAACAAAUACUGUAUCUUUGAUUGAAAUAUUAGAUUUUAGUGUGUUCUCAAAAGAUUUGGUACAAGAAUUAUUUAUAGAUCCAACAAUUCCAUUCAACUUGUAGAGCUGCAAUGCAUUAUUUCUAAAUAUAUCCUCCACCGCUUCAAUAGCCUCUGCAAUAGUUAGAUCGCCAUCAUCACAUGCAGUUGACAAAACACUGAAAACAACAUCACGGGCCCAUUUCGCGCCUGCAUGAUUUGGUAAAAUACAGUAAACCACAGUGAAGCUAAGAAUACAUAAACAUUUUUUUUGCAAGAAAAUCAUUUGAGAUUAUCAAAGAUUUUUAUAUUAAAAAUUUUCUAUGUAGAAAAUAGAAAGAAGAAAGAAGUCCUUAAUUACCAAUCAGACUCUCGAAGUAGAUCCUUAGUUUUUAUGUACUUACAUUUUCAACCAUUACAAUAGAGUAAUAGGCCAAUUUACUCUAUUUUUUAGACAGCUCUGCUUUUUUUUAGUUGCCUGUUUAGAAGGUCCAACAACCUAAAAAAAUUACUCUGUAAAUAGAGCCAUACAUCAUAACUUUUGGGGAGGGGGGGGGGGAGUUCAGAAUGUCUGUAAAAUUUUUUCAUGUUCAUCGGACUCACCAUCCUACCCCCUUUGACACUUUCUCCGCACACUCCCGUCGCCCUCUUUCUCAAUUCCUUUAAGCACUCUCUACCCUUCUCCUUCUCCAUCUCCUCAUCCUCCUACCACUCCUCCAAAAUAGUAGCUCCGAUCGGCUCCCUCCUACAUGUUCUCGCUCAUUCUCUCUCUCUUGGCCCUACUCUCUCCAUCUUCUCUCAAUCCAAAACCCUAACAUUUCAAAAAGAUAAGAUCACUUUUUUUUUCCAAAUAACUCAUCCCACAUCCUUCUUCUUGACCCCUACAUCCUUCGCCACCUCCCCUUCCUUGACCAUGUCGCCGACGCCUAUAGGCUUUCCCACUAUGUUGAUUGCGCUCCCUUCUACCUCCCCGGUGCCCUCCAUCGCCGCUGCCGUCCGACCUCUUACUCUUCUUCUUCUACCUCUACUAUCUCCUCCUCAAGAUUGCAACGUUUUUCCUCAUUGUCGACUACCACAGUCACCGCCUAUGGGUGCUCCCACUCCUAAAUAGGACACCGGUGGGUUCUUCAUGUUGGGUUGUCACGGUGAAAAGUAGGGACAAAUGUGGGAGGGAUGGAAGGCAAUGGAUUUGAGCCGGGAGGAGAAAGUGGUCGGGGUGGGUUUGAGCAAGGAGGAAGUGGUGGUGGUGGUGGUGGUGGUGGUGAUAGGCUGUUUUUUCACAUUAAUUUUUUUUUUUUUCAGGUUUAAGCCAAAUACUAAAAAAUGGGAUAAAAAAUUAUGGAGUAUUAAGAUUUUGAUACCAAUCUAUUACAACAAAAUAUAAAAUUAUUUUUAAUUUCUACAGUUGCCAAACAGGCCUUAUACUAAGUUGUCAAACAGUCCUGCCAAAUCAAACAAUAAUCAAGAAAGACCAGAGACAAAUAUGAUGAACAAUAGGACGUGAUGGAUUUGUAUUAGUAUUGUUAGUUAAAUGAUGGGGCUUUCAACAAAUUCAAUAGGUUUACAGUAGCCACUAAAAAGUGAUGAUUUAUUUUAACAUAUCAAACCAUAUAGAAGUUACAUGUUGUCGAAUGAGUUAGCUACUAAUCCACUUACCACUCAAUUUUGCUUAUGUUUGAUAUACCAUAGCUCUGAUUCCAGUGUAAAUUGAGAAGUUCUUUUAUAGUUUUGUUCUGAUUCCAGUGUGGAUCAAGAAGUUCUUUUAUAAUUUCGUAAAUAAACUAUAAAAGAAAUUUGUCAUUUUAUGGUUGAUACUUAAUGAAGAUAGUCUAAGGCAAUCAUUCUAAUUCUAUAAAAGGUUGCUUAAACUUACAACAUGAAAGAGUACAUUUAAGUAGCAACCUUUAUCAGCAUUGUCAUCAACAAAACCAACAUCAUUCCAGCCUUCUCUCAAUGUUUCUUCACAUACGAAUUAUUUUCGUAUAUUUCACUCAAAAAACGUAAAAGUAACACUUCAUAAAUUACCAAAAAUGCAACUUAAAUCAGCCCAAACAGAACUGUUAUAGCUGACAAUUUUCUGAACUAUUGUAUGCUCUCAAUUCUGCUAUAAUUUCAAAAGGCAAUAAUGACAGGCUUUUUCAUCCCAUGCAAUGAUAUUAUUAUGUUAUGCGACCAUUAUGAUAUGGAAAAGAAUCUUUUUUUCAAACAUACCAAGGUAGAAAGUUUCAGGAAAAGCAUAGCCAUCAGUGCUGAACAUCACCUGUACAAGGAAAAAGUUAAGUAGAUCUUUUGAUAAUCUCACGUUAAUUAAAACGAAAAUCAGUUUACACACAAAAUUGACUUUUGCCACAUAACAAUGACCGUAAAAGAGUUCAUAACUUCUUAUGUUGGACUAAACUUUAAUAAUAUGCCAGCAAUCAAUGAUUACUGACCAAGUUUACCCUUCCAUAUAUGUCAGGGGCCAUUCUCCCAAAAUUUACUUUAUCAUUUACUUUCAUGUUGAUCAUUAUAGCAUUUUUCACACUUAGUUGCUAAAGCCAAUAAUACAAAUUGAAAAGUAGUGAUGGUUAAUACUUGGUAGCAAAGGUUUGUCGUGCCAUGGCUUCAAUAUUUGAUAAUAUGGAUAGUCGAAUUCCGGUAGUAAAGUUGACUUAUGGAAUUUCAUCAAUCUUCAAUAAUAAAUAGGCCGUAAUUUGCAUUAGAUAGGUGCCCAAGCAUUCUGUUAAUAGGCAGAUCAUAUUACUCGGAGUAAUGCAAUUUUUCAAAAUAGGGCUCUAAGGGAAAUGUCAUAGAAGAUAUUUCAAGAAGCACAACAAUGGUAAUAGAUAGUAGAGAUAUCCCGGGAUCGAACAAAAUAAUGCAUGGAAAUCAUUUUUCACAUAAUUCAUAUGAAAGACAUGCCCUAACAAGUAUAUUCUUCAGCUUCUCAUUGGUACUGAAAUAAAUCACAGAAGAAAGUAAUUCCACCUUUUUCAAAGGCGCUAGCUCUAAAAGUUCUUUGACUGAAGAGAUCAUUCCUUGGACACUAAGCUUCGGAACCGCCAAACCAAAAUCAAGGUAGACCUAUUCAUGAUGAUUUAAGAAUGGUUAAAAUAAAUUGUUGUAAAUUAUUGGAUAACAAAGAACACAUCAAAACAACAAACCUGCGAGUAAACUGAAGCAAGAUAUGAUGCUUCCUUUGAAAAUGGAUAAGAAGCAUGUAAAAGAACAAUUCGAGAUCUAGAAAAUCUUUCGUCCUCAAGAACACGCCGUAGAUGAAGGGGAUUGGACUUUCUCAGAUCCAAGUCCUUGUCUCCAAAUCUGAAUCAAAUGUAGAGUUAGAAUUAGUUUGCUUUGUAUGAAAGAAUUGAAGGCACGGAGUUAAAACUCUUUAUCCGAUCUGUUAAAGCACAGUCUAGUCUAACAAUAAAUAAAUACUAGGGAAAACUUCAAAAACCCCUCCUAUGGUUUCGCACUUUAUCACUUUAGUACGCUGUUGUUUAAAGUGUAUCAAUUUGGUGCCCUGUGGUUUCAUUUUUCUCUUUUUAUUAUCAAUUUCACUAUUUUUUUUCUUCUUAAAUCAGUGACAAAGUUAAAAUUAAAGGGUACUAAAGUGAAUAUUCGAUAAAUCUAGGUGGGUAUCUAAAGUUUUUUGUAUAUAAUUUAACGAAAUAUUAACGAAAAAGCUGCCGAAAAGAUAAAAAUGAAACCACAGGGCACCAAAUUAAUACACUUUAAACCACAGGGUACUAAAGUGAGAAUGUGCGAAACCAUGGGGAGGUUUUUGAAGUUUUCCCUAAAUACUAUGAUUUUACCAAACUGCGUCAUCCAGCAUUGUUUAUACUUUUUAUAAACAGAUGAAAUAUUCACGGUUUGAUCAAACAGGAAAUUUUAAUGCUCUAGCUAAUUUAAUAGAAUGUUUUAUGUGUCAUUACUUACUAAUCAAAUUUAAAAUUUGUGGUUCUCUCUGUUAGCGGAAGAUAUAUAACUAGAGGGCUAAAACUUCGAUUGGAAAACAUAACUUAAAAGAAGAAACUUCUUAUAAUUGGUACCCUGUAUGAAUUUGUAUUGGCAAGUCAAAGGAUAGAGCAACCUCCAGGCUACAGGUGAAUAAGUAAUCAAUGAAGCUCUUAUCGGUUAUGCGAAUAGGCUUCGCACCUGAAAUAUCCAUAUUAAAAGAAUCAUAUUUAGAUCAAUCACUUAUACUAGGAGUUAAAUUAGUCAAUUAUGUAGCACAUGUUCUUACUUACCACUUAACUCUUGUUGAAGGCCUUCUUCAGCUUCAAUCUUACUAACUUCUGGGUCUAUCUCUAAUCCGCUUCUAUAAGCAGCUAUGCUUUUCAUCGCGACAAUUUUAUCAGCAACUGUGGCAAACAGGUUCAGGAAAUGAAAGAGAAAAGAAAACUGGCAAAAAGUCGGAAAAUUAUAGAAGGCAUCCAAAAAGUUCGAGAGGAUAUGAUUUCAUCUUUGUCAGAAAAGUUUGGGUGAACGAAUCUAUCGUCCACUUUGAUCCACCGAAUGCCUCCUGAAAAGUAGUAAAAUCACUUAUUAGAAUAUUCUUCAACUCAGAAAAGAGAUAUUCCUGCAGAAAUGAUAAAUUCAAGAAGCUAUGCUAGCACUCAAAACUAGCCCAACAAAAAAAAUUAACAUCUUUUAGAAGUCCAAAUAUCAACAAAGUCUCUACCUAAUUUUAAGUUAUUUGGUAGACUUGCGAUAAUGCUAUUUACUUAAAAUAUGAAACUAAUGAGAGCUUCAAUUCACAAACUUCUGAUUCUAAUAUGAAGGAAAAAAAAAACAAAUAUUUGCUCAAAGUUUAGAUGAUGAAAACGGAAAGUACUCACAUCAUUAAGAAUGGUUUCCGCCAAAUGUUCGAUUCUUAAAAUUCUGCCCACUGCAGGAGCAAAAGAACUGUGCCACUCCCAGUCAUGCAUUUUGUCAAACUGGAUACCAUCAUCUAAAAAGAUUGCAGAUAAAUUGGCCGCUUUGAAGCAUUUCGAACUAAUUGAAACUAAUCCAGCAGAUUUUCUGUGGUCUUCCACUUUAUCCAACGAAGCCUCGCAGUUGUACAGUUGAGCAAUUUCCCUUAAGCUCCUCUGCAAAUAAUGCAAUUAGAAAAGUAUAUUGAGUUCCACAGAUGACUAUUUCUUUGGCUAAAUGCUGUAUGAACCAUGACUCAUCAUUCAUGCAUCAAUUCUCCAUAUAAUAUGAAGGAGAUGUCCCUUAAGACAAUCUAAAUUCUGAAGUAAAGCAUUUGAUGUGCAACUUCAUCAAGUAGGAGGAGUUGACGAAGGGAAGGGAUGAACCGAAAUUUUUUGCACCGAAGCAGUUAGAGUAAUACCGAAGCCCUCGGAUUAAAAUAAAAUGAGAAAGGGCGGGAAAUUGACAGGGCUAAAUGACUUGAAAGUUCAAGUGAAUCACACACCCCUCGAAAAUCUGAAUCAGUAAGAUUCCACAGUAACUGAUAAACAAGCUCUUAAUGGUUUGAUACCGUUUUCUCUUCUUCUUUUUUCUUUUUUAGUUUCUUUAGUUCUGCUUUUAACCUCAAAUUUCAUCCAGUUGAACAGGCCAGCUGAAAGUAAAUUGUUUCAAUGCAUUUUAGCUUUUCCUAAAGAAGAUGCUGUACACCGCGUCGGCUUGUGAGCUAACAAUCAAUAACAUGGAAAAGUCCGGAAACAUCUGUAAACCUCACACAUACUAUCAUACCGAACUUACUGAACUUAAAGUUUAAAAAUCACAAUAACUAAAUCCAAGUUCCAAAUAAGGUGUAAACUUUCGAUUCAGAUAUAAUCUUAGUCUCAUCUAAGCCUCAAGGUUCGAGAUAAACGAGACAAGCCAACUCCGACCAGGUAAAACACAAUGUUUUUACAAUUCUUUUGGGUUAUGAUCACUAUCAUCGCGUAGCCUCACGAACUAAUCUUUUAUUUAGAAAGUGUUAGUGUGUGUAUUAUUAUUUAGAUUAGUGCACUCGAACUAUAACAGAACGCAAUAUGAAUAGUGUUGUUUACAUAUUCAGAUUUAUUGUUGAUAAAUAGAUUUAUUGACUGAUUAAUUUUGCCCAGGUUAGAGGAACAUGAUUUGACAAACUAGCAAAAGAUAACAGUGUCAAAACUAUUUUAUGACUCGACAAAGCAUUUAAUGCGAUCGCACCCGAAUCAAGCCUCGCCACGUGAUCGGAUCCGAGCCCAAGUACACGGGGCGAUCUAAUUCGAUACGAUACGAUACGAUGCGCUCAACGUGGCCCAGCUCACUCGGAGGUGAGAAAACAGAGUGUCUAAGUACACCGUGUGUAAUCGUACCAAAGUACGCUAUACAAAGGUUUUUUUUUUACAAAAAAAGGCUAAAAAAUGGUAUAAUUAUUAAUAAAUAGGUUUAUUAUCAUCUUAUCAGCAGUUAAAUAUUUUAAUUUCCUUCACUAAAAUCAUGAAAUUCAGAAUAAGUGAAGUUAAAAUUAAAACCAAAAAAAAAGCCAAUGUAGGAAAAAAAAAAAAAAAAAAAAAAAAGGAAGAGUUAAAGAGCGUAAUUUUUCUCACACAUAUUUAUACUUAAAAAAAAAAGAGAGAGAAAUGAUUUAGAGGAUCUAAGUUUUGUCAAAAUUCUAUUAAGAACAGGGAAAAAAAAAAGAAGUAGAUUAUAAUGACUAGUGAUUGUAGAGCAUAUUUAACUUAAAAGAUGAUUUAUCGUAUUACCUUGAAGGAGAGGGAAUGGGGGGCGAAGGAGAAGAGGGCGUCGCCGUCGGCCUCGGAGAAGCAUCGGAGGAAGGGGAAGGCGGAGUCGACGGCAGCCAAAUUGUGGGCGUGGGCGUCGACCGCCGGCACCCCGUCCACCGCCGCCCUCAGCUGUCUGUACUUCUCCGCCAUCGCCAAAAGUCUCUCUCCCGACCGCCCCGCUCUCCCACUCUCUCCUGUCUGUUUCUUUUUCUUUUUCUUUUUCUUUUUCUUUUCACACUUACCGUUGACAAUUGCAUUUGGAGUGAGCCCUCUUGAAAGUGAAUAAUAAUUAGGGCCUGUUUGAAUGCUCACUUUUUGGGGUUUUUUUGCAUUUAGUCCCUGACAAAUUUUUAUUUUAAAACUAGUCCUGUCAAAAUUUAAUUUGCAAAAAUGGCCCUGGGCCUGCCACGCAGGCGCCACGUCAGCGCCACGCGGGCGGGGCCAGGGCGAAUGUAUUAAGUUAAACACGGUGAACCAUUCACCGUGUUUAGACACGGUGAAUGGUUCACCGUGUUUACUACGUAUAUUUUAUAUGUUGAAAAGAGGAAUAGGGAGUAGGGAUGUCAAUAGAUAUGGAUAUCCGAAAUAUUAUCCGAACCNGGAUAUGAAUAAGGGUAUGGAUUUUGUAUUUAUUUGACCCGAACCCAAAUCCGAAUCCGAAUAAAUUAUAUAUAUAUAAAAUUUAUUUUUAUUUAUUUAUAUAAUAUAUAAAAUAUUUAACAGCUUUAUAUAAUAUAUAAAAUAUUUAACAGCUGGAUGAAGAUCUAAGGAACGGUUAAAUAUUUUAUAUAUUGUAUAAAUAAAUAAAAAUAAAUUAUAUAUAUAUAUAUAUAUAAUUUAUUCAGGUUUGGGUUCGGAUAAUAUUUCGGAUAUCCAUACCUAUUAACAUCCUUAUUUCCUAUUCCUCUUUUCAAUAUAUAAAAUAUACGUAGUAAACACGGUGAAUCAUUCACCGUGUUUAGACACGGUAAAUGGUCCACCGUGUUUAACUUGACACAUUGGCUCUGGCCCCGCCCGCGUGGCUCUGACGUGGCGCCUGCGUGGCAGGCGCAGGGCCAUUUUUACAAAUUAAAUUUUAAAAAGGCUAUUUUUAAAAUAAAAAUUUGCCAGGGGGCUAUAUGCAAAAAAAGCCCUCACUUUUUUGGAGUACAAGUGCUUCUUUUCUUUCUCUCUUUCUUUUCUUUUUUUUUUCUUUUUUUUUGGGGGGGGCAUUUAGCCCCUUAGGAAAAAAAAAAUAAAAAUAAAAAAUAAAAAAUAAAAAAUUCACAAAUAACUCUAUAAAAUCUAUAUUUAUAAGACCGGUCAUAUCUCUGUCAUACAAGUGCUUCGUGAUCGCUGAAUAAGUUGAACACGAUGAAUAUUCAUCGUGUCCAAAUAUGAUAAAUAAUUCACCGUGUUUAACCUAAACUUAUACAACAUAUAAACAUAUAUAAUACAAUAAAUACGGUGAAUCAUUAAUCGUGUCUAAAUACGACGAACAGUUUAGCGUGUUCAACUUAACCUGGGCAAUCAGUCACGCUCAUGUGUCAUUUGCGUGGCUCUUGUACGGCGAGAAUAGAGACAAUCUUGGAAAUAUAAAUUUUAUUGGAGUACUUAUAAAAAAAAAUUAUAAAAAGACUAAAUACAAAAAAAAAACCUCUAAAAAUAAAUAAAUUAAUUAAUAAAUAAAAAUAUAUGUAGAGCCCUUAACUAUUAGACAUUUUGAAAUUAGUUUUGCUGCUUGAAUACAAAUUUAUGAGGCCUAAAUGUUGCACCUCAUUUAUUUAAAGACAAUUAUUUUUUUCACUGGUCAUUAAUUAUUUUCCAACUAAAAAGCAAAAAGGUUUAUAAAAUAAUAUUUUAAAAAUCGAGCGGAACAACAAUUCAAAAAUAUUACUAGAUUAAGAUAUUAUUGAAUUAAGAGUUACUGGUUCAAUCACUAGUUAAACAGCAUGUCAUUAUAAAUUUUAUAUAAAAAUAUGCAUAUAUUGUUAUUCUAUUAUCAUAUUUAAUUUACCAAUUUGCAUAAAAAAAUUAUUAGUUUUGAGCUUUUGCAAAAGUAGGCCGUCUUUUUGAAUUUUACAGAUUCAGUCCGAAUUUUUAGAAAACUGACUAAAAUACCCUUAUUAUCUUUUCUCUUUCCUUUUUUUUUCAUUCUUUUUUUACUUUCCCUCCAAAAAGGGCAAUAGAAGUUUUUUGUCUCAUUCUUUUUUUACUUUCCCUCCGAAAAGGGCGGUGGAAGUGAAAGUGGAAGUCGAAGCAGAAGUGAAAGUGGAAGUCGAAGCAGAAGUGAAGGCGGAGGCGUAGGCGGAAGCAGAGGCCGCCCGCCUCGCCUUUAUCUUGCACACCCUCGCCCGCACACCCUCCCUCCACCUUACUCGCCUCCGACCCCACCGAGGCCACGUCUCGAUACUUCUUUUUUUUUUUUCCUUUCUGACCCUCCUUUACCGUCUCCCUGGCUCUUUACAACAGUAAAGAAGGCAGCAUUACCUCCUCUUCCUCUCCUUUAUUUCUCUCGUUCUUGUUUUUCUCUCUUCAACCCCCAUCUACCACUUCCACGACCCUCCACACAGUAACAAGGACAGUGCCGCAUCUACUUUCCCCGCUUUUGCCAUAGCAGACACCGACACCGGUGUCAGAAAAAGAAGACUCGGAGCGAGUGCAGGUGAGAGCGGAGCCGAGAAAAAAAAUAUGUAGACAAUAAAGAAUAAAAAGAAUAAAGAAUGAAAUAUAAAAAAAAAAUUAUUUCUACAAGAAAAAUAAAAAAAUCAAAGAGAAAAGAAGAAGAUGAUAAAUUUGCACUGUUUCACGGGAAUGUUGCGCUGUUUUAGAAAAAUAUUACACUAUUUAGAGAAAUUUGUAGUGUUUGAGAGAAAAUAUAUAUAUAUUUUUAGAUGAAAGUUGCAUUUUUUAAACAAAAAUUGUAUUCUUUAAACAAAAAUUGCAUUAUUUGGACAAAAAGUACACUAUUUUUCCUCCUUCUCAUCUCCACUUUCUGUCCAAAUAGUGCAAUUUUCAUUCAAAGAAUGCAAUUUUCAUCUAACAAAGUAUAUUUUUUCUUAAAGAGGAUAAAUUUUCUCAAAAAUAAUGCAACGCUCCCCUGAAAUAGUGCAACGUCCUCUAAAAUAGUGCAAAUUCAUCAUCUUUUUUUUUUUCUCUCUGAUUCUUUUUCUAGUAGAAAAAAUUAUUUUUCUUUAUAUUUUAUUAUUUAUUCUUUUUAUUUUUUUUGGCAUAACCCGCACUUGCUCCGAGUCUUCCUUCUCCAGCACUGGCGUCGGUGCCUGCGCUGGCGAAGGCGAAGGAAGAGGAUGCGGUGCUGUCAUCAUUACCAUCAUGGAGGGUCGCAUGGCGGUAAAGGAGGCUUGAAGAAAAAAAAAAACGAGAAAAAAAAAGGACAGGAACAGGACAUGGCGUUGCCCUCUUUACUAUUGUAAGGAGCUAGAUAUGCGGUGGGGGAGGGUCAGAAAGAGAAAAAAAAAAAAGAUGGUCGAGGGGCGGCCUUAGCGGGAUCGGAGGCGAGGAAGUCGGAGGGAGGGUGCGCGGGUGAGGGCAAGGGCGAGGGCGAGGACGCGCUGGACAGAGGCGAGGCGGAACGUCUCCGCCUCCGCCUCUGCCUCCGCUUCCGCUUCCACCACUCUCUUGGAGAGAAGUGAAAAAAAAAAAAAAAAAAAAAAAAAGAGAGAAUAAAGAUAUUUUUGUUAGCUUUUUAAAAAUCCGAUCCGAAUUUGAAAAAUCCAAAAAAGUGGUCUAUUUUUGCAAAAACUGAAAACUAAUGAAUUUUUCAUACAAAUUGGCCUAUUUAAUUACAAAAUAUUUAUUUUUAAACUAAAUUAAGUAGACAUAAGUUUUCACAUUUCACUUUUUAUGAGACUAAUAUGAGGUAAUAGAAAAUAAAAUCACUAAGUUGAUUUAAGCUGUUGGAUUUUAAGAUAACUUUGAUAAAAUAAUAAUAAUAAUAAUAAUAAUAAUAAUAAUAAUAAUAAAAGAAGCUCAGCCAAUUUGAUUAAAACCCAACAUGCAAUCGGUUCAUUGGUUAAACCGCUGGUUCAACCAAUUUAAAAGUAGAAUUUUGACUUAUUCUCUUCAAAAGGUUGAACCUAGGCCGAUCACAAUCGAAUCGAUCAAACUACUAGUUCGAUCUUAUUUUUAAGUCAUUGGUUAUAAGCUCUAAAAGGCUUAAUUACACUAUUUUAUAUUGUAUUUUACAGAUUUUUUAUUUUCUACAUUGUAUCUUAUUUUCUUAAAAGUUCCAUUAAACUUUUUUUUUCAAUCACUAUAAUAUAAGUAAUAAACUUAUAAUUUUAGAUGAAAAUUGUUAAAAAAUACUAGUUAAAAAUGACAAAAUAUAUAUUCGGCUUGUAUUUUACAUAAAAAAUAACAAAAUAAAUAUAAAAAAAAUUGAAACUAACUUGGUAGAAACUUUUUAAUAAAUCUAUCAUGUAUGGAGAUUUAUUUUAUAUUAUUCAUGUUAUUUAACUACUGUCUCUUAAUAAAGCAGUUGAUUUAUCUAAAAUAAUAAAUUUAUUAACAAUAAUAUAAAGAUUAAUGAGAAAAAAAUUAUUUAAUGAUAAAUAUAUAUAUAUAAAAAAAUAAAGUAGUACAUGAUAAAAAAAACGUAAAUUACCCUACUGUGUAGACAUAAUAAAAUAGAGUAAUACUACAACAGAAUUAGGUUAUAGGGACACAUAUUUGGGACACUUUUGAGUAAGUGUCCCAUUUAUGAUAAAACUUAAAAAAAUAUAAUGCAAAAAUGCCAUAAAUAUAAAGCCCAAUCCAACCAAAAAUAAAAGAUUACUCUACUCAACCCACCACACCGAAUCCAUUUAGCCCGAUUACAAACAGAAAAGAAAAAAAAAAAGAAAAAUCAAUUGCCAUCUUUUCUUCUCUCUUCACUCAAUCCACUGAAAUUUUAGACGAAGAGCCUUUCCUGUCGUCCUCCUCCGCCACCGCAGCCAACGAGAUAGAGUUUCGGUGGUUGCUAAAUGCUUAAAAAAGUGUUGGUAAAUUAGCAGCACUCUUUUAGGUUAUAGCGACACUCUUUAACUGUCACUAUAUACCUAGCGACCCCACAUAUAGCAACACUUUUUAAAAGUGACGGUAAUUUUAGCUAGCAAUACUUUUUUAACAUAUACCUAUAUUUAAAAGUGUCGCUAUAGAUCGUUUUUGUUGUAGUGAUAAUACAAUAAUAUUUUAAGAAAAAAAAUAUAUAUAAUAUAGCAAAAG
Molecule: long non-coding RNA, 61267 nt
Filed under: Ananas comosus (pineapple)
Lineage: Eukaryota; Viridiplantae; Streptophyta; Magnoliopsida; Poales; Bromeliaceae
Description: long non-coding RNA (ACOM_LNC013082)
Source: RNAcentral